GAUGGGGACCCACCUCGUGGGUACGCCGCGUGCAUCAUCCACGCAGUAGGAAAACAAAAAGCUCAGUCUUCAGUGUCUCAGUAUUUUACUCUACUAGCCAUCGUCAAUAAUCCAAAAUUCCAAAUCAACAACGCAUUUCUACGAAGGCGUAGCUUCUUAGCCCUACGCGCACCAUAGAUACCAAGAGCAUGUUGUAUCAUCGCGCAUGUUAUACCGGGCGAUCCUCUCGUAACACCAUUUUUCAUGCACGCUUAGCGCCGGACCCCCAAUCUGAUUCGGUCACGGAUACAGCUCGAUCGGGUGGGCCGGUGAUCGAGUGGCUCGCGACGAUCACACCACCGUAGCACGAGUCCGAGCCGAGGACGAUCGGCGCGAGCUUCCGUAGCUGCGGGUAACAUAUCUUGAUCCGGAGUUGCGAACAGACCGACGGACGGACGACGACGAUCCAAGUCGAAACUCGUAGCCAGCAGAGCGUGCUUGCCCUAUGUAGGACGACGCCGAGGAGGCCUCGCCGUCGCAGCGCGUGGCGUCCUCGCCCACCAAGGGCAACGCCGUCGUCGUAGUCGUCGUCGCGAUGACGCUGCUGGGCGGCUUGGCGUGCCUAGGCCUGGGCGCCCUCUUCGCGCCGCGGGGGGGCCCCCACCACCUCGCCCGCCGCCUUGCCGCGGAGGCGGCCCGGAAGACCGCGCCGGGGACGGUCUCGAUCGCCGCCGCCGCGCGCGUGCUGCACCGUGGCGCUGCUGCUGUGUGGCGCCGCCGCCUUCCUCUGCUGCUGCGGCGUCGUGUCCGCGCGGCCCGGGCGCGGGAGGAAGGUCGGGUGGCAGAGCCAGCAGGCCCCUGUCACUGCGCAAAAAAAACCGCCUGGAGGAGCCACGGCCGGCGAGCGACCAGCUGCCCAGCCGCAGCAGCAGGAGCCGCCUCCUAACGCCACAGAGACAGAGCCCGUGGUCAGCGAGACGUCGCGGUCCGUCAAGACGGAGCAGGAGCUCCUUGCUUCCGACCCACCUGGAGCCAUGGCCACGAGCAACGACCGGGUGCCGGCCGGAAACCAGCAGAAGCCUCCUCCUCCUCCUCCUCCUCCGACCCCCAGACGGACGGCACGGCCCAGGCAACCGUCGCGGCGCUACAGCGCGAAGGAAUGGGAGCUGUGAUCCGUGUUGUUGCAACUUGCAAGGGUAUCUGAACCCUGAACUGACCCUCUCCGCAUGCUCUGCUCCUUCCUAGGGCCUAGGCUCCUUGCUCUACUGGAACAUUCCAGCUUCCCCACAGUCCAGCCAGUGAGCCAGGAGCGCGGACGCCUUGGAGAGAUGGGUAUGACACAUGCUGAAUUAUUCAGAUCACCUGUGCGUUAAGCAAUAGUCAUGCCUUCGAAUCUAGUAACUAUCUCCCACUCCCAGAUCAACAGCCUUGGCAAGAAAUUGAGGCUGGAGGUAUGGCCGGAUUAUCUGAAAGCCUGAGAGAAAUUUUGGCUGAUUUACCUGAACCUGUAUGAGAGCCUUUCUUCAGAACGUGUAUUUUGAAGCUUGUUUGUCUGAAGUAGCGGCGUUUUUUGUUUACCUGGGUUUACGUUUGUUCUUUGCUUUUGGGGUUGCAAUCCUGUUGCUUAGACAUGCAGAUCUCUAAAGUCUCAUUUAAAACAACACGAAACGCAAGAUACUUCGUAUUGAUCUUGCUUCUUAUCUACAUCGCAGUAUCUAGGAACACCAGCAAAUGAUUGGGAUGCAUAUUUUCUGUCUGCAGAUGGGUUUACUUGGCAGUAGAUAAACCAGACAGACAAUAUCUCAUACGACGAACAAACUAUGGCGCACGAUUUCAUGCUCAGUCGCACCUUGCGACCGGUCACCAUAACGCUGAAAACUCCUGAACAAUCUAUACAGAUGCUUGGCUUCCCCUGUGGUUUUCUACUACACAUCAGAAUCGCUAAAUCUCCAACCGCAACUCAACCGCUGUUACAACCAGAUCCUCUACCAACAAAUCCACGCAACACAUCUAUGCAUGCUAUCAUCCUAAGCUACUAUGCGAUUACACGACAGGCUCACAAAUUGCAGCCGCACCAGGUCACAGCAUGGCAGAUCAACAGCGACCAGAAACCCCCAAUGUUGAGGUUGGCGGGUGCCAAGCCACCAGCAGGAUGCGGCUAAGGCCCUCGUCGCUUGGUGCCUGUGGCGGCCUUGACUGGAAGCAGGCACAAUCCAAAUGUCAACGUUGACAAUGUUGGUUCAAUGGUCUCCACUAGUUAAUCAAUCAGAAGUAUGUGUCUGCAUCUGAUUCACCACCAGUUGCGCUGCAGGUGGGAACAUCAUUGGUCCUGAAAAAGGGCAGAUCGGUUUAAGGGGUUGCCAACUUUGAACAAAAACCAGCAUGAGAAUUGGAAGAUUAUGCAGACUAGUGUAACUAAGACUUGGAUUAGCACCUGGAACAGCGUUGAAACCAUUCACGGUAUGCUGCAAGGCUGGGUGUCCGUGAAGAUUAUUAUGGCUGCCCUUCAUCUCAACACCAUGUUCACCUCGAUUUAUUGGAAUCUGUGGUAUGGAUCCACAUUGCUGGCUUGCUAAUGCUUCAGAAUUGGUCCUCUGCACGGUGCUGGUAGAAGCAUAUGGCAUAGCAUGUGCCUGAGAUCCUGCCAAAUGGCUUGAGCUGGCAGCACAAUCCUCAGUGGCAGGGCCACUGUUAUUAGGUGGCUGCUCACCUGAUGCCGCGACAUUGUUUGGUGGUGCCAUUGCUUCUGAAAAUGCAGCUAGUACAGGUGGCUGAAAUGAGCUUGGUGGUGCUUCACCAUCUCCUACCCAGCCACGACCAAAUUUUGUUCCAGGAGGAAGGCUUCGCUCAAUUCGUCUUGAUGCCAUUUCCCAGCCAAUAGGACCAAGUUGUGCAGCAAAACGUGCCAGGCUGCGGGAAUAUGACUGCUGCAACUGAACCCCGACCUGAUAAAAACAUUGUGUUAAAGUGUGGUCAAUUGUGUCUUGCUAUUCUCUAAUGUUCAUGGAAGGCUGAAAUUAUAGUAGUGUAUCAUCAUUUACUUAUAGGACAGAAUUAGUUGGGACACUCAACUGGUACUAGCAGCUUCUUCGUCCCGUUGUAGGAGGAUGAUACCGGCAGAUCAUACAUUGAACUGGACGGUUGAGACUCGUAAUAUGUGCUUCGACGACUAUCUUCCAUCAGAAUUGGCUUCUUUCCCAUUUUUCCAGACCACAUACUCCCGUAACCUGGAACAAAAGUCAGACACCAACCAAGGUUAUAAGAAAAAUGAGUUAGCCAAAUUGGAUGCAAGUCCUUUGUUCACUCAGUACUUGUUAAAUGCUAGCCUCUUGAAAAGACACUUUUUGAAAGAAAAAAUGAGAGAGAAGUCAAAACCUGAGUAAUCUUCCAUUCUUUCUGUUUUCCGCUCGCCAGACCAGUUGUGCUCAUUUUUCCGAUUAGCAAAAGAGGCUCUCAGCACAUCUGCAAUCAUCGCUUCUUGCUGUGCAUGACGUCCACUAUUUGCAGCAUUAGCAAGUGUUGCCCCAGAAAAGUCUGCAGUAGCACGUUCUGCUGGUGGCCUCCCAACUUUUUGUUUGGCAUUAUUCUUGUUUGGAGGCCUGCCCCUACGAGGCUGUGGCUUUGGUUCUUCUGGUUCUGGCUCUGGCUUCAGUUCUGGUUCCGGUUCCGGUUCUGGUUCACUGGCAUCACUAUCUUGCCUAAGAUUCUCAAAAUCCUUUUUAGCAAUCUCUUGAAUACCUCGUGCCUGUAAUGCAUGGCAUAUGGAUGUUAAGUACACCAUAAUUCAUGAUUAUAUUCAAAGAUCAUAACAUGUAGGCUUAACGUCUGACCUGUCGAUAGUAUAUUGUAUCUGGUGAAUUGUAGCACAUUGCAUUUGAGCUUAUCAAGAACACAUCAUCCUGUAAAUUGAAAUUUCAGUCAUGUUGAAUGAGCUUGAUAAAAACACCAAUAGCAUAUUCUGAGAUCAGGAAAGAAAUAGUAUUUUGCAGCAGCACUGUAGGAAUGAUAAAAGCAACACAUAUUUGUUCCAAAACAAAAUCUGACAUACUUCUAGCAUGACUGCACGAGUAAGACGUAAUGCUUUCAAAAACACUGCGAUUACACAUGCUACAGUUUGCAGUUUUGGUUCUGACUAGAAAAUUUAUUCUUAAGAGAUGUUCAGCAAAGAUGUUUGAGCACAGAAGGAUUCUGCAUACAAGUUGGCUUGUGUUGGUGAUGUUCAAUGCAAGACAGUCGAAUGCACAGUGAAAAUGCAAAUCCAUGAUGUUGGUAGCAAUAUAUAUAAAUCAGAAACUUCUCAAAUAGUAAGUAUUACAAGUAAAGUCAUUAGCUAGAAGCCAAAAAAGGUGGCGUCCUAAUGGCCAGUGUUAACUUUUCAUGAAAUAACUCCACUUGUUCGGGCAUUACAAAGGCCGAAAUCAUCUCAUUUUACCAAAUGCCUGCCUCAUCUUUAAGCUCAUAAUUUCUGCUGAGGCCCAACAUACUUCACAAGAACAAAUGAAUUAGCAACUGAGGUACAACUUGAAUAUGAUUUGCCAACAUAAACAAACACAAAUGAGGCAAAUGGUCUCUGAGUUGUUUUUAGAGAAAACAUCUAGCUAUUUACGACCUUCCAUAGUACGGCGUGAAUAUGACUUAUACAAAAGGGAAGGAUAUGAGUUAUUUAGAGUGCUCUUUUUUUUUCAAAUAAUGAGCCUUUUUAAAUGGAAAAUUUGAAAGUGUCGAAUCAAAAGUAACACAGGCAGUGCAACGCUCGCAUAAUUUUUUGCACAUCUACAACUUUAACACUAUAUGGUACACGGGUCCAUCCCUGUGCUAUCAUGUACUUCGAAAAUAGCAUCAAUUCACUCUUUUCUGAAAAGAUAAGGUCAUUUAAUCGUUUGUAACAGCAUAUUUAAUCCAAAUACCUUUUCCAUCAUAAAAACUCUACUGUAUUUACGGCAGUAUAUUGUGUCCAAAUAAUUUUUUAACUACUGUUAUUGGCACUUGCCUUCCUAGUUAUAUGUACUGGAACCACAAAUACCACCAGCUGCAGUAGAUGAUCUCAUGCAAGUACAAUUAGGUGGUUAAAUGACAUGUCGCUGUGUUCUCUUAGCAAGUUUCUAAUGUGUAAAAUGCUUCUGUCAUUGAACAUGCUGCUGAGUUCACAACCAUACAUUGCAGCAAACAAAAAGUGACAUGAGAUAUCUCAGAGUAUGAGAGUUUCUUUAGGCACAUCAACAGAACAAAUGUAUAAACAUAUGCUCCCUCGGUCCAUAAAGAUAUGAACUUCAGGACAAGCUAAUUAGUAGCUUGUCCUGAACUUUCAUAUAUUUAAGGACGGAGGGAGUACAAUUUAAACUCAGCCAAAUAGUUGAAAAGCAGAAUACAGAGAUAUCAUGCCUCAGAAAAAGUUAGGUUGCAUAGUACAACCACAGAAAUCCAAACAGGAAGGCAAUUGUCUGCUAACCUAUUACAGUUGUGUCUCAGCCUAUAUGUAGAUGUUAAUCUCAAUGCUUGAACUGCCGUAAAACAAAUAAAGAAUACACAGGAGAAUUUCAAACGUGAAAUAGGUCUUUCCUUCAAGUUCCUGGAUUUACGUGCAUAUGUAGAGCAAAUCAAUACAAACAACAACGGAUAGGUGACUGAAUGCAAACAUAGUCUUGGACAAACGUUUUUCUAUUAAAAUCCUGUAAAGGUCAUGGAACCAAUAAAAUAGACCCUGGGCUUAAGUGCUUCACUGGAACGAAAACAUUAUAAGACUAAAUUUGAUAAAGAGUUUACAUGUUUAAAUAAAUUGUUAAGAGAAUUUACAUGAUAAAAUAUAUAUGUUGCACCACUCUUGAAAGCGUUUAGAUUGCCAAGAACAAUCAGAUGUGGAGUUACAACUUACAAGAUCUAGUACACAUGGAACACCAUCAGAGACAGAACCUAGCAGAAAAACACCCAGGUGUCCAAUUAACUAUUUGCAGUAGUGUUUCAACAUAUCUGGGCAACAGUCCAAGAGAGUGAACAUCUGCUCCUAAACUGUGCAAUCAGCAUAGAGCAAGAGGCUCCAAAGGCAACAGUACAAAGAGUUUCUUACCAAACUGGGGGACGCAAAGAUUUUACAAAUGGACUGUAAUAAGAAUCUAGAACGUGUGUGUAUACAAAGGUCAGGAAAAAAACAUUGUCGAAGAAAACGACAUGGUGAUGAGAUAAGUAAGCUAGCUGAUUAGCAAACUAACUUAACCACAACAUUUCAGAACAAAGGUGCAACAGCUUAUUAGUAGUUAUUACCAAACAAGCACAUGCAAUUUUGUUGAAGAAAAACCCAAACAAAAGAAAAACACAAACAACCUAAACAUAUCCUAUAACCCACCUCAAAUUGCUCCAAGUUGGAAUAGGCCCCCUUAUCAAGCUUCUUCCUUAUUGUCGAAAAAUCCAUUGGAUGCUUGAUAAUAUCAUGAUAGUCAGGCAGCUGGCCAUAAAUGGACAUGAACAGGCAAAUCAGUCAGGUUCGAAAAAUCAAAACCAACAAACCAAACAUAUAGCAUCAUCAUCUUUCAAAGCAGAAACAAACCUCUUCAGGAUCAACAGGCUCUGAGAAUACACCAUAAGUGUCCUUCCUGCAAGAAACAAGGACACACAAAGAUGAGAAGUCCUGGAGUGGAGAAUGGACGAGCUGAAGGCCAGGAAGAACAAAGCUGCGAGCACAGCAACUCACUUCUGUAGCCUAUCAAGGAUGAAGAGCAACAACUUUUUGUUCGGCAAAGGUGUUGUGGGCCCGGAAUCUGACGGCUCUGUCAAAUGAGCAAAUCCAACCCAUGAGCACAGGGCGAUCGGAGGCACAAGCAUUAAUUAAAGACAAGGAAAUUGGAAUGCAUCCAACAGUAAAAGAAUUAAAAAAAGGCAUCUUUGUGCACAUUUGUCCAGGUAUAUUUUUUGCCCCUGGAAAUCUGAAGAGUUAAAUGCCACAUAGCAAGGAGCACCAACCUUCACGCCCAUCCGUCGCUUUCCUCGUCUUUUCUCCCUGCAGCAGCAGAAGCGGAAGAUAAAAAGAUAUUUAGAAACAAAACAUCCUAUAAAUAAAAAUACUUACAAGAACCGAAAGAAAACCGGGGUAGAAAAUAAGCAGCAGAAAAAGUGGGGCUUUCGUUUACCAGCGCCAGUUACCAAGUACAAAGAUCUAACGAGGGCGCGAAAUGCAGCGAAAUUUGGCGCGAGAAGCAGACAAAAACCAAACCCGAAAAGGCACGCCUUUAAAAGCUUUGAGCCAGGGUGUUUAAAAAAAUUGCGCCAAUUAUUGUGACGACAGGGCGAUGCGACUAUGCGAGGGUUUAGGAUUAUCCCCCUCCCAAAUGAUUGGGAGAGCUGCUCUCAGGCUGGGCUGAGCAGAGCGGGGUUGACCACUGCGCCUCUCACUAUGGAGAUAAAUAAAUAAAUGCGGCCUUUUCAUGCCCGAAAUAGCAAAGAAAUUUCCUCGGGCGGCGCGCGGGCGCGCAGAUCCGUACGCGCCCCGGGGCCAGGGCCCCCAAAUUAGGCAAAUUCCGCUAGGGAUCGACAGAAUUGGCGCGGAUUCGGCUCAGAUCGAGUCGGAGAAGAGGGGGAGAAGGGGAGGGCGCCCACCUUGGCCGAUCCGUCGUGGAGGCCCAUGACGAGGCGAAGCUUCUUCUCGCGGCGGCCAGAGCCGGAUGCGGGCCCGUCAUCGUCCUCGUCGUCGGCGGAGCCGGGGUUCCGGCGGUUGGGGCGGCGCGCCUGGGGCUGCUGCCGCUCCUGCAGCUGCUGCUCGAGGCGGAGGCUGCGCUUCUGGAGGUCGAGCAGCGACGGGCGGCCCUUCUUCUUCCGGCGCCGCGGCGGCGGAGGCGCCGACAUCGCCGGGGACCGCCGCGACGGUGGCGCCUGCUGCUGCUUGCCCAUUCCCGGCGUUCUUUUUGUUUUUUCCUUUUUUUUCUUUUGCCCCUCGGUUUUGUGUGCGGGGGCGCCGUUGGCGUUGCGUGUUGGGGGGCGUGAGCUAGCAGCGGGGAGGUGGGUAGACUUUUCGGUGCGUUUUCUUUUUCUUUUGGGGGCGAUUUGGAUGCGAGCACGUGAGGAGCGUGUGCGCCUCAGCGCUUGCGUUUGCGUGCGCGGCUGAACCGUGUACCCACAGAGUCGAUCAGGAAAGAAUUCAGAACGUGAUGGCAACGUGGACGUCGCCGGCUCGAUCAGUAUCAAGAUACCCAUGGUGCCCAGUUAUCAUAGAAUCUGGAUUCUGUUGAUGAGAUAUUACGUGACUUUUACCCGCUCCUGAUUGCACGAUUCCGUGGUGUACGACCAUAAUAAAAGACUCCUUAGUUAAUUCAGAUUAGUAUGUCGUACUCAAUCCAAAUCCUUGUAAGAAGUAGAAUAUGUUACAAAAACAUAAAGCGGUAUUGCCAUGUGUUUGAUAAGUUGAAAGGAUAUAUUCCCAGAAAUUAUACGUUCUAUAUAUAUAUAUAUGUAGGGAUGUAGGGGUGGAUCGUGACCAUAAUGGUCCCUUCACAGUCCAACUCAAUCCUUAAUUAUUCUUGACUUACACUUAUAUAGGAUUAUAUAUAUGAUAUGAGCCCGUCUUAACUUAACUUAUUAUAUAUGAGUCCGGUCCUGAAGUUGUCUAUGUUAAAUUUUUAGGCCAUUUAAAUUUAUGAUAGGAAACUAAUGCUAUUAGAUUCGUAUUAGAAGUACUUUUUUUUUAACUAUGGAUGAACCUGAAUUUCAGUACUGACGGUGUCUCCCGUGAAUGCAUUCAAAUAAAUAAUUUUGUACUAAACAGAAUAGUAAUUGAGUAAAAUAUUGGUUAAAACUUGUCCUAACAAAAUGAAUAAGCCUUGUAAAAUGUGGUAUCAAAAGACAUGAAAACAUAGAGAGAAUCCUGGAGAAGUGAACCAUGUCACGCUAGAUUGGGGGAAGGGUCUCUAGUCUGUCACCUGAGAGCUGCUGCAAACAUGAUUUUAGUUUCCAUACACUUUUGCCGGUUUUGGGUGGUUAGUUGCUGGUUAGAAUUCAGAAAGAAAAGGGAUGCUAGUGUGUUGCUUCCCAGUUCCCACCCAAGUCCUCUAAAAACUAAGGGAAAGCAAGCAUGUGGUUUUCAGGCAAGGGCAAGAACAAAAGAACAGUAGAGAGGUGAGGUGACACCUGGGAACCUUGAGCUUCGUGCCCAUUGUUUUCUCCGAACACUUGGUGCCAGUACGGCAGUACCCCACUGUUAACCGUUUCCACGGACGCGCUCACGCACAUGCCCAGAAAGAAGCUUCCCCCGACGGAGGAUUCGUUUCCACGCAUGGUGCAAGCAGAGUCUGUAGUGACGUAGCGGUAGCACUAGCAGUAGGCAGUAGCAGUACUUUUUUUUCAUAAGAAGCAGUGUCCUCUUUGGCAAAGGCAGUGAAGUAAAAAAAAAACUACACGGCCGAGUGAAGCUACAGUCCCAAGAAAAAAAAAAUGGCCGUCUGCAGUGAGGCAGCAGUAGACCCCUCCUGGCCUCCUGGGUCAAAUCCGGUUGCAGUUUUCGUAGAAGGGCUCGCCGGCGCCGGCGCCGGCGAAGCAUGGGCUCCGUUGCGCGAGUGCGUGGGAGGUGCGCCGACGCCACGGCCGCGUACGAAUCGAGCGCUCCGGGCCUCCGGGGGGCGCCGGCCGAGCGCGGCACGCCGCUCGGUGCGUCCACGGCCCAGCGUUGGGCGCUGCUGCGUAGGAAUCCGACGGGCGGCGCAUGGAGACAGGAGACGCCGCGGGGAACGGCCAAACUAGCAUUCCGACGAGGCGCUGCGGCGCUGGUUGGCUUCUUUCUCGUGUGCGGCCGACGGAAGUGACGCUCGAACAAGCUCCGAGGCCUCUUGCUCAGCGUCCCGCGGAGAUCACCGUAGUUCGCUGGAGAGGACAGCUUCAGACACUGGGGCAUCUCCAGUGUCCACUGUGGACAGUGGACACCGGAGCACAGAUGAACAAGCUGACAGGCCAACAACAACAUUGAUUAUACAUCGAACGCAAAAUUUGUGUACCGCGUCCCAGCACGUCAGCACAAGGGUGCAACACGUCAACAAACUGAACAAGUUGUGAUAAAAAAAUUAACCCCUAUUCUGGUGGAAAAUGGAAGAUCGACUCGUGGGGGUUAAAAAAAAUGCUAUGCCCGCAGCAGAAGUACGAGGCUCAAGUUUUUGGUACAGCAACUUGCUGACUUGCUGAGAGUAGGCUACGGACGCAGAAGCACGAAGCUGAAUUUUUGGCACAGCAACUUGCUGACCCGGGAGGUCAGAAACAGCCAUGGGAGUAUUCCAACCUGCACCAAAGAGGCGAUCGCCGCGUCAGGGACUCAGAAAAUAGUACAUAGGUGCAGCUUUGUACCCAGUAACGUUGCAUCCAAGCAACGUCAUGUUUGGGAAAUUAAAAGCAGUUUCCUCAAUCAUCCAAUGAAGACUCCACGUUAAUUUAACAUGCAAACAAAGUUCACUCUGCUAAGGUGAUGACUUCUUCCUUUCACGGCAUGUGUUACCAAUAGAUUAUACAAUACUAGCCCAUACGCGUUGGGCCGAUGGCAUUCAAAUUUAAAAGUUCCAUGGUUUAUAGUAUUUACCACAACAUUGCCCGUAGCAGAAUCAACCCCCCUCAAGGAAAACAUCUUUCCUGCAAAAACAAUUGAGGUGUCACCAAUAUUAUUGGUUACAUGAAUCAAAAGUAGGACAGAGGCCUAGUGUAAACAAAGUUUUCUGACAGAGAAGGCAGCACAAGGAAGGACUGCUACUGAACAACAUAUAAGACAAAAAAAACAUUCCUGAUCUUAAAAACGGACCUAGUUGUGCAGUAUUUGCAAUUUAAAUACUGGUUUGGACUGCAUAAAUAAGUUAACCUUGUUUGGCCCAAAAAAAUCAUGUCUUUCUACUGUAUUAAUUAAGUAUAAAAUCACAUUAACUGGUAUUCUAGCAGCACUUGUGAAAUGCAUGUGGCAUAUAUGGUGUGUGUGUGUGUGUGUCACCACAAUCAGUGUUGCAAGGAAGGUGAGAAAUUCCUCUUGCAGUUCUGGCAUUCAGGUUGAACAAAAUACAACCAGAUUACUAAUAUUGGAUAGACUCUAUUGAUAAAUGAACAGAACAGUGAUCACUAAAGUGCAAAUACUGAGCAACAAACAAUCUAGAACACUCUGGCAAGUUGCAUCAACAUACCAAAGGGCUGUAGAAGAUGUCGUCGAACUGUUGUUACAGGAGUGCUCCAAAACCACAGAACGAGCAAGGCAUAAAUUAGUACCUAUUUGGUUGAAAAGAAUUAGUACUAAAGAAAGUAUAGUGCAUGGUUAAACAAAAAAACAAACAUAAAGGCAAUUCACAAAGAAGCACCUUAGUAACCAGCAGAAUUUUUCCGUACUUGUCAUAUAAGGAUUGCUUCCCUUUAGUGUCCUGUUCCUGUACUGUAAAGCAGACAAAGGGGGAAAAGGAACUUAAGAUCGCUAAAAUGCAUCAUUGCAGCACCAAUUCAUUCUACAGAAUAACAGAAGUAACAAACAAGCAAGGAAGCUUUGCUUCCAAACAAACAAUAACAAAGCUAUGGCAUACAAUUAUUCAGCAUUUCCAAAAAUUAUGGGGCCGAAAGACAAUAUUCCGGUGCUCCAUUACAGGGCAACAACUACAGAACAUUGAGAGUUCAGCACUCACUUUUUGUCAGUUCCUUCUCCUUGGCAACAGCCAGACGCUUGAGUUUAGCAGCUUGUGCAAAUGUGGACGGCCUACCACACAUAUUCAGGCAAAUAAGUGAGAUGGAAACCUUGCAGUUGCAAAUCAUUCUUUGGUUAGAAGAGAAAUUUUGGAUAAAGAAAAGCAGUGAUAUGAAAAUUAGUAGAGUUCGAGUCACGGCAAAGGAAGGUUAAUGGCCUACGUUGACAGCUCAUUUGCCUCCUUCAGAAGUUGCUUGAUUUCAAGCCGCAGUUUGAUCUGCUCAUCACUUUGUGAUCCCCUCUGGAUUAUAAGCACAGAACACAUCAGCGACCAGUGAAAACACUAGAGAACAUAAAUACAAGACCGCGGACUGCAGGCUAUAAUAGAUGCGCAGGAUAAGAAAACUCGAGCCUGCAUUCCACAUCCACGCCCAACAGUUCAGAAAUUAGCCCCAAAAUUCAAAUAGCUUAGAGCUAAAGGAACAAUUUCCUCGGAAUUAGUGUUCGAUUCAUUGAAGAAAUAGGUGGAAUCGCUGGGUGGUUACUCUUUCGCCCAAUCAGAAUUCACCGAAGAUCCAGGGCUCCAGACGAGACGGAUGGGAGGGGCAACGCGCGAGGAGGGGGAGGGGGGCGUCGGCGCUAACCUUUUUGGCGAGGUCGAGGUAGCGGUCGACCAGCUGCAGCGCGGAGACGAUGAGGAAGACGAAGAUAGCCGCCAGGGCCAUGGUCGUCGACCGGCGUCGGAGGCGGAGGUCUCUUCCGUCUCCGGUUGGGUCAGGGACUCGCGGCGCAUCGGAUGUGGCUCGAGCUCGACGGUCCGACCGAGCCCGGCCUUAGUCAUCCGCUGGACGCUUUUCGAUAGGCCCAUUUGAACUCUCCAUGGCCCACGGGCCGCUUGGGCAGCUGACAUUCGAAAACCACCAAUCAGUAGCCUUAUCCUCUAGUAAGGCCCAGCCCAAACAUAGUCAACUUGAACAUUUGAGCCGCUGAGCCUUGCUCCACUCGUAUGAAUGGCCGAAAGGUAGAAUAAUCCGAAGGAGGCCACGUCACAUGAACCAAUCCCAUCAAAAUAUCUCCCGCGGAUCAACUGGCCAGUAGGACGCCACCGAGCCCAACACUUGGCGACACCAUGGCGCAGCCCCUAAAAUUCACCGCGGGCCACGGCAAAAACCCAGCCGAACACCCCCGCAAAAAUCCCGCUCGCCGCUCGUCCGGCGCGGUGAGAAUAUCUGGCGGCGAGCUGGUGGCCGGCGCGCGGCCACAUCAGCCACCCCAUCCGCCCACCUCACCUCCGCCGCGCCAAUGGCAACUCGGCUUAAGAUUCCACGAGAUAAGGACCCGAUCGCCCGGCGACACUAUUUAGCCGGGCGCGCCCGCCCCGACACUGUCACUCCCACCACAGCAAGCAGCUAGCGACCGGUCUCAGCAACUCUCCCUCGCCUCACGCAAUGGCCGCCUCCACCAUGGCGAUCUCCUCCCCGGCGAUGGCCGGCACCCCCAUCAAGGUGGGCUCCUUCGGCGAGGGCCGCAUCACCAUGCGCAAGACCGCGGCCAAGCCCAAGGUGGCGGCGUCCGGCAGCCCGUGGUACGGCCCCGACCGCGUCAAGUACCUCGGCCCCUUCUCCGGCGAGCCCCCGAGCUACCUGACCGGCGAGUUCCCCGGCGACUACGGCUGGGACACCGCGGGGCUGUCCGCUGACCCCGAGACCUUCGCCAAGAACCGUGAGCUGGAGGUCAUCCACUCCCGCUGGGCCAUGCUCGGCGCGCUUGGCUGCGUCUUCCCCGAGCUGCUCGCCCGCAACGGCGUCAAGUUCGGCGAGGCCGUCUGGUUCAAGGCCGGCUCCCAGAUCUUCAGCGAGGGCGGGCUCGACUACCUCGGCAACCCCAGCCUGAUCCACGCCCAGAGCAUCCUCGCCAUCUGGGCCUGCCAGGUCGUGCUCAUGGGCGCCGUCGAGGGCUACCGCAUUGCCGGCGGCCCGCUCGGCGAGGUCGUCGACCCGCUCUACCCCGGCGGCAGCUUCGACCCCCUCGGCCUGGCCGACGACCCCGAGGCCUUCGCCGAGCUCAAGGUGAAGGAGCUCAAGAACGGCCGCCUCGCCAUGUUCUCCAUGUUCGGAUUCUUCGUCCAGGCCAUCGUCACCGGCAAGGGCCCACUCGAGAACCUCGCCGACCACCUCGCCGACCCGGUCAACAACAACGCCUGGGCCUACGCCACCAACUUCGUCCCCGGCAACUAAGCUCCAUCCGCUCUGCAACUUCAUUGUCUUCCGGAGGGGGCGUACGUGGAUUCAUUGAUGCUGCAAGCUGCCGCAUGUGUGUCUCUUGUUUCACGUUGCAUUUCAGGGGCAGGUCGAGAUGAUGAGUUGGCGUUGUACACUAAGAUGAAAGAUGAUGUUUGUGCAAUAGUAGUGAUUUUGUAUUUUUGUUCCCUGGUGGUUAAUCAUUGAUUUGUCAGAUUUUAAGGGCACCUUUUCUUCUCCUGCUUUUUACACUUUAUUUUAAAAAAAUUCUAAAAUUUACUCUGAACACCAUAGCCAUACAGCGCUUAGACUUGGAUAAAGAACAUUGAGCCAAGCAAGCGACAUGAACUUGGGCUCAAAUGGUAGAAUUAGUCAAUUACUGAUGUCCUGUUAUAGUGGAUUAGUGGGCACUGGGCGCCAGUUACAUCAUUACAUGGGUGCCAACAGUAGCAAGAGAGAGAUUGCAGGUGCUCUCGCGGGCGGCUGGCUAGGAGACUCGGGUUUGAGUCCUGCUCCUUCCUAAUUCGAAGUGGGGAGGCUGUCUGUCAAGUUUUAGCAAGAGAGAGAGAUUACAUAGCAAACAAAAAGCACCAGCAGAGUCUUGGUUUUUAAAAUUCCUAAUUCGCACCCUCUUAAAGGCAUCACGGUCCAUUCUAGAUUUUGUGUAAUUAAAUAAAAAAUUUGUUGAAGGCAAAACGAUUUCUGCAUGAAAACAAAGCAUAACUUCACCCAACAACAAACCUCUGUUCACAACUUAUGCCACUGUUCACAUACCCCUUUUAGACUGAUCGUUCCUGUAAUCCUUUCGUUUCAAGGCAUAUCAGUACCCAUUUCGAUCAUUUUCUUGGAAAGUUUCCACCCAAGUGACCAAAUGUCGGUACUGCAUCGCUCUAUCGCCCCUCCAGAACUGUAAGGGUCACCGUGUUGUUGGAGUUCUGGGAGCUGUCCCCUGUCUGCUCUGUUUCAGUGUUCCUCGGUGCAAAAUACGCAGGCCUGUCUGGGGCUACGAGUGACUUGCUUUCGCUCUCCAGGAUACGCACAAUAUACGGCAUGGAUGGCCGAUCAUUCAGGUUAUCUUGAACACACAGGAGUGCUAAAUGGAUGCACAGCAUUACCUCAUCCAAGGAGCAACCUUCCACAAUCGACGAGUCUAUUACAGUCUCUGUCUUCCCUUCAUUCCAUAGGUUCCAUGCCUAUACCAAACAAGAAUCGGAAGUCUCAACUUUGAGUUUUCUGUCUCCAUAUUUGUCCUUCAUAGAGCUGUUCAAAUCUUUGUGUCGAAAUAUGUAAAGAAGAAAACUUACAUAGACUAUAAGAUUGGGGAAGUCUUCAAUGAGAUCGGUGGAACUUACCUAACACCACUUACAAUCUCCAGGAGCAAUACGCCGAAGCUAUAAACAUCGGACUUCACUGAAAAGAUGCCCUCCAUAGCAUAUUCAUGAGCCAUGUAGCCACUACUACCAACAUAACUUGUCAAUAUAAUGCAACGGAUUUUGGUGAAACAAUAAUUUGAGCAAGCUAAUUGAACAGAACUCACUAUGUUCCAACGACUUGCUUAGUACUCGCUUGCUCUUGAUUGUCACCAAAGAUUCUUGCCAUGCCAAAGUCUGAUAUCUUUGGAUUCAUCGCUGCAUCCAGCAAAAUGUUGCUCGCCUUAAGAUCUCUGUGGAUUAUUGUCAGUCUUGAAUCUUGACGGAGGUAAAAAAGACCUCGAGCAACCCCUUUGAUUAUCUUGAACCUCGUGGGCCAAUCCAGCAGUGAUUUCCUUGCACCGACUGCAAAAGAGCAACAUUUUCACGAGCAAGAUGAACUGUUUUCAGUGUCUCAAAACAGCACUAUUUCACAUUCUCAAUAAUUCACAUCCACUAAUUCACUAACUCGCAUUUACAUAAUGACAAUGCAUCCAUAUGAAAAUUCACUAAUGACACUCAUAUUACUCAUAUAUUCAAUUAAAACUUCAUUUACUAUUCCUUAUUUACAUGAAUAAUACUCAUGCACUAACUAAUUUUUUCACUAAUCACACUCAUAUUCCUCAUAUAUUUACAUUCACUUUCACAUAUUACGAACCAUAUAUAUUCACAUUUUUUCACUUAUACAUUAACUAAUUUACUAACUAAUUCAUUAACUAAUUCAAAAGGAAAAAAAUGGAAAAAAAUCAAGAACUCACUUGCUGCCAAGAGAGGGCGUGGGCCGGCGGGGAGGAGAGGACAGGGUCACUGCCGAUGGAGGGAGAUACCGCCGACGACUACAAGAGUGGCAUCCACCGAGGGUCCCACAGAUCCGGAGGCGCGCACGGCGGUGGGCUGGAUCCAGAGGCGCGCGGCGGCGGGCCGGCAAGGCGGAGGGCCGAGCCGCCGCCGAGAGGAGCCGGCGGGGAAGAGGAAAUUUUGGCAGCUUAACGCCCCCGUCUGCAUGAAACGAAAAUUUUACUAAGUUCUCGACCCAUUCAACAUAUAUAGAGCAGGGAUUUUCAGGGGUGGGUGACUGUGACGCCCUGAAAAUUUACCAAAUUAAAAUUUCGCGCUAAGAUGUUUUAUUGAAACCCUAAUCACCUCCCGGACUCUUCACCGACCAGACGCUCGGCUCCAGCUGUUGACCCAGCCCCUUUUCCGAUGACCGUACCCUCUUUUUCCUCGUCGCCGUCCCAUCCCGCGCCGCUCGGUGGCCUGCCGCCCACGCGCGAUCACCGCCGCGAUUAGCGCCGGCGCGAUUCCUUUCUCCUCGCGCAGCGCGCGAAAGCCGCGCGCGCGUGGCCGACCGGCCGCGGUCGCCACCGUGAUCGGCACCGACGCCCCCCCCCUCUCUCUCUCCUUCUCCUUUUUUUCUCUCUCCCAUUUCUUUUCUUUUUCCCCAAACUCUCUUUCUCUUCCUUUCUUCCUUUUUUUUCCUUUUUCUUUCCUUCUUUCUUUCCCCCCUCCUUCUCUUUUUCCUUCCCCUGCCGCGAGCCCGAGCCCAGGCCGUGCGCCUGCCUUGCCCCGGCCACGCUACGACGCACGCGCACGCGCAGCGCGUGGCCGUGCGCAGCACCGUGCCGCCCGUCACCCACGCCCCCGCUCUGGCCCGCGCCUCGCCGCGCUGUGCGCGCACGCGCGCGCCCGGACCCGCGACGCCGCGCUGCCCGCCGCUGCCGCGUUCCGCCCCCGCCGCGCCGCCCGUCGCUAGCCGCGCCGCCCGCCGCUGCUACACCCCGCCAUCGUCCUGUGCUCGCACCGCACGCCGCGUCACGACGUGAGCGAACGGACGAACGUCAUUAAUGGCGCUCCGCGCCGCUCGCCGACCUUCACCUACCCCCGGCCUUCCCACCGCCUCAUCCCGCCUAUAAAUCGGCCCCCUGCGCGGCUCACCUCCCCCACAGCCUCCACCGCCGCCCCUAGCUUCCUCCCCGAGCCCCUAGUGCCGCUCCGCCGUGCCCCCGAGGCCGCCGCCGCCCGCCUCUGUCGUCCCACCUCCACACAACACCCCGGCCCAAGGUAAGGCCGGGAACCACUUCCCCUAGCCCCCCUCUCCCUCACCCCCCUGCCCCGUGCCACCCCUGGGCCCUGGCUGGCCGAGAUGGCCGCCGCCACCGUCCUUUCCCCCUUUCCUCUGUUCGGUCACGGGAGGGAGGAGGAAGAACAGGGCAAAUUGCCCGAUAACCCCCUGCCUUUGUUCUCGUUUUCAAAUGAGGAGCCCCCCUCUCUAUUUGCUUCCUUUCGCAAAAGAAACCCUGCCCAUUCUAUUAUUUCAAACUGAACCUCUCCAUUACAUAAAAACCUAAUUAUACCCGACCCCUCUAGCAUGCCCUGGGUAUUUCUAGAAUUCGCAAAAAGGUCCUUACUCUUUCCGGAUAGUUACGAAUAAGCCCCUAGACCCCUAUUUAACCCUUGAAACCCCCUUCACCUCGUCAUUUUAUGCGUCAAACGACCUCCGAUCGACCUGAAACUUUACCACGCCUUUCUAGUAUAGUUUUAACCAUGCCAUUAAGAAACCACCCAAAAAUAUUACCCCUACCUCCGUAACUAAAUUAUUUCCGAUUCAAGCUUAACGAUAAAAGCUUUUAGUUCCUUCGCUUGAUUGUGUGCCUGUUUGCUUGCGUCGUAGGACACGGAGUGAACGAGGAAGGCCCCGACUGUGACCAAGCGAACGAGGAUCAGUUCUGCGACCCCGAGCCCGAGGGACAGUACUUCGAUCAGGACCUCCCGCAAGGAUUUGACGAUGGCAAGUUCAAUCCCGCCCUUUGAUGCAUGUUUCUGUCCUAGUUUUUUUAAACACAACCCAAUGGCCUGUUUUAUAAAAUUGCAUGGUUUUGCUUGCUGAAAAUAUGGUAGGGUAGCCACCCUUGUUUGUGAUAACCAUACCUUGAUCACCUGGUUUUAUAAAGGAAAUGUGUGUGUGUGGGAAGGGAUAAAAUAUGGUUUUGAAAGAUGAGUCAGACGGGAUGGAUGGCAUUUCUGUGUGAAUUGCCGUUGGUGUGCUCGUACCUGUGUGGUUGAGCGAGGAAGGGAGAUAUCCAUCUUGUCACCCCUAAGGACCGAGUUGAUGUGUCAUCUCACCUAGCUUCAUGUCGUGCAAACCACUUGACCGUUGUAUGGGCAACGGCUUAGCAUAAAUCCCACUAGUUAGUCUGCUAGCCAACAGGAGAGCUGAGAGCAACGGGUGAUCAAGGAGAAGGGAUAAGCUCUGUGUGACUUAUGCCCGGUUAAAUCUUGGAGAUAGGUCGAAUGACCCCUUGAUGGAUCCCGUGGUGGCUAGUCAGGUCUAGCUAAGGUGGGUAAUAACUUUGUUGGGAUCUGCACCGACACUAAGGUGAUCGUGCUGUGGUACCCCACCUGUGGGUAAAGUUGCAUACCUCUGCAGAGUUAAAAUCUAUUCGAAUAGCCGUGCCCACGGUAUUGGGCAAGUUAUGAUGUGGUCACAUAACUGGUGUUUCUCUCCGGGAAUGGUUGGGUUGGUGUAAGGUGUCUGGAAAGUGUCCGGCAGUUGUGCCGUGUGCUACGGCGGACGGGGAGUCCGGUAGCAAUUUAAAACUUAGAUCCUGUGCGGAUCGACUUCGUGUGCUCCUUGGUACUAGAAAACUUGUUUUGGAAAUGUUUUAAAACAAACCUUUGCAUACAACCGAGUUUUCCGCAAAUGAACCAUAACCUUAUCCUUGGAUUGUCCUGUGCAUUGAUUUCUGUUAUACCCCCCUCCGUGGGUGUGAUUGGACUUGCUGAGUACGUUCGUACUCAUCCCAUUCUUACUUUUACAGUGGAAGAUCCUGACUACAUUCCCGAAGACGUCGAGUAGGGUUCCGUCCUGCACCCAGUCUUGCCUGUGGUUAAGGCCACCGCUGGAACUCCGCAUGGCGCACGACUCUGAGGACCCUCUUUUCGUAGCUAGUGUAGUAGUGUGGGUUUUAGUUGUAAUCCUCGCGAUAGUGGCGCUUCACUGCCCAUUACCGCGAAGAGCUGUACGGUGACGUACCAUCUGAUGUAAUAAAAGUGUUAUCAGGCUCCUGGGACUGAUAAAGCAUCAUUUUUAAGUCUUCCCUGAUGGGGGGACGCUUCAGUGACCCUCCUAGAAAUAGAUUUUCAGGGGCGGGCCCUACAAAUUAUUUCUAGGGGCGGGUGGGGGAUCACCCACUCCUAGAAUUUUUUUCAAUUUUAUACUAAAAAUUUCAACUAAUUUAAAAAAUAUAGCAAAACACAUCCAAAAAGCUGAAAUUUUUACCCUAAGACUAUUGCCACCUAUAGAACUAGAAAAAAAAUAUGACAACUAUAUUUUAGUGUAAUAAUAGUUAAGAGUGUUGAAAUAACAAUGUAGAGUUCUCCAACACUUAGUAUCUCGUACAACUCAAGCCAUCUUUACUAAAAAUUUAAUUAAUUCAAAAAAUAUAGCAAAACACAUAUAAAAAAUGAAAUUUGUACACUAAGAGAGCUCCAUUUGAGUCUUAAAACUACCAAAAAGUUUAGAAAAGACAUGAGAUUAGUAUCAACUUACCUCCUGUAACCCCCAACUCGAAGGAAAUCAUGUUUAAAAACCUCCCCUACUCUUUUUUCUUUUUUUGGAUUUUCAGGGGCGGGUGGCGCCAUCACCCGCCCCUGAAAAUGAGCCCCACUUUUAGAAGCUGAUGGUGCCACCCGCCCCUAGAAAUUCUAUAUUUAGGCGGGUGGCGUCAUGACCCGCCUGUGAAAUAGGGCUCAUUUUCAGGACGGGUGAUGGCGUCACUCGUCCACUAUAGAUACAAUUCUAGGGACAGAUCUGCUACGUAACUCCGCUUAUUUCAUAGAAACGGGUUAUAUUUUGAUCUGUCUGUAGAAAAAAAUAAGAUGUUACUGCACAUCUCAUCUUUUAGUAGUGUGUCCGUCAUGUAGCCCAUCCAAGGCGAGCUGCGCCAGUGCACGGGCGACCCGUUCCGUAUGAUCAUCUGCAUGCAGCGGCCUGUCCUGGUCCGCGCCGAAGGCGAAGCUCCCCGACGACGGGUCCUCGGGGGCCUUCGAGGACAUGAUGCGCACAGCGCACCCCGGAGCGUGGCAUCCGUAGGCGAUCCCGAUCUUCAUGCCGGGUAGGAACGUGUCGCCGGGGUGCUUUGAAGCUCUGCCACAAGCCCACAAGGUGGUGCCGUUCGGCGACCGGACGACGAGGUUGCCGGUGUUGAGACGCACGGCCAUGAAGCUGGAGCCUGUCGAUGUCCCCACCGUGCCGGUUUCAGGCGGUGACAGGCGUGAGCCAUCCUCCAGAGCGCUGCGCUGGAGAGCCUACGUGCUCCGCACCAUCCAGUAGCCACAGUAUUGGGCGCGGCCGUGCGGGCUCCGUCGUAUGUUGAAGGAGAGACAGACGGUGACCGCCAGUGGAUACGCAUCCAUUUUGUUGUGCGGUUGCGGUUUAUUUGGUGGGUCACCACUGACCAUUUCUGUCGGGCGGGCAGGUUUUGAUGGGCUAAGCUUUUAUAAAAUUAGGCUAGAUCCUGCUAGUGGGUUUGAGAUAAACGGGCUUCGCUACAUCAUAGCCUGCCUCUCAGGUCGGGGAGUUUUUCCCCCUCCUGAUGUCGUGCCGAACUCAAGUCUAGAUUUGAAGCCCACAAUCUUGGAUCCCAGACUGCGCUGGGUUGACGUUUUCAGUUUUUUCAAAAAGGGGUCAAAAAAAUUAAAUUCGAAAAAGGGGUGCCGAUUUCGAAAAUUUCGAAAAAUGGGUACCUCCCGUCCGACCAACGGGCGGGAGCAUGGGGCCGGAGACCUCCCGCCCAUCCAACGGGCGGGAGGCUCCAAAUCUUUUUCCAGGUCCCUCCCAUGGUGGCAAAGACAUCCCGCCCGCCCAACGGGCGGGAGGUCGUUCGCGUCGCGCUGCAGCUGCGCACGGCACCUCUGACGCACGCCGUUUCCUGUUGGGAGAGCGGUCGCUGUCCUGGACUAGACUGCUGGUACGCUUUAUUAGUCUUGUGCAGCAGGUAGCGAUCUUUUUGGCUGCAAGGCAUCCCGCCCAACGGGCGGGCGGGAGGUUAGUUUUUUUAGAUUUAAUUCGAUCAGUUCUAUUACUUGGCUGUUUUUAUGUGAAAGUGUGACAGGAUCUUGUUUCUUUUCCUUCUUUUCCUUUUAUAUGCACAGGAAGAAAAGAACAAAAAGUGGAAGGUAGACGGAGCUCAGUAUGACAAAAGGUGAAGCUGUCAAAUCCACACAGAGGAAAAAAGACACGCUGUUACAGAACAGUGACGGUCAGGCAGUACAGGUGAAUGUGCGGUAGAGCCAUGCAUGCUCUACGGAGCUAGCUACCUAGACAGAGGAGACCGGAGCUAGCUACCUAGACAGAGGAGACCGCAGCAGCAGCCGUGACAGGGAUUAUGAGUGCAGCAGCAGCUACGUGGAACCUCCCGCCCGCCCAACGAGCGGGAGGUGGCCUAAGCAUCCCGCCCGUUGGGCGGACGGGAUGCCCCGCGUUAGGGAUCUCUUUGUGAAUAAAAAAAGUUUCUUAUUCACGAAGAGAUCCUCGGGAGGGGCUAAAAAAAGAUUUGGCACCUCCCGCCCGUUGGAUGGGCGGGAGGUUUCCGGCCCCACGCCUCCCGCCCGUUGGUCGGGCGGGAGGUACCCCUUUUUAGAAAUUUUUCAAAUCGGCACCCUUUUUCGAAUUUAAUUUUUUUUAAACCCCUUUUUUAAAAAAAAUUCGUCCGGUGGCAGCACGUUGAACAGCCUAGAAGCGCACUUUUCUAACCGGGCUCUCGCGGUAGCAUCCUGAACAAAAGUCCAAAUCCAUCACCAGACUUCUCCAACCCCAAUAUCAUGUACGUAAAUACGUAAUCAUCAUGUUGUCAUAAGUUACUAUAUAUAGCAUUUUCCGGUUAUAUAAUCAGCUAUGUUCGCUUGGACUCAUGUGCGCUCGGAGUCAACAAGGAUUCCCAUUUCCCAACCAGGCCUGUACCCAAGUUUUUAGGCCCCCCGAUGCGAAAUACAAAAUGAGCCCCUAUAUUUAGAGAAUAGAAAUAAUAAAAAAAUGUAUUUAGACUUCAUCACAUAAUAGUACCAUAAGAUUUUAUGCUGAAUGGAUAAAAAGCUAAAAUAUAUUUAGACUUCACUAUGCUAAAUAUAAAUAACCUAAAUAGAGUAUUAUAUAGUUUAUAGUAACAGGAAAAAGGGGAAUAUUUGCUUUGCUUGUGAUCUGGAACCUUGAUGCGCUUGGCUUGUUAGAAUAUUAGACCAGAAAACGUGAAGCCGUGAUGCAGCUGCAGGCAACCCAGGGGAAGGACUUAAUUCAUAUUUACAGGUUUUUGAUGUAGUCAUGCUUGAUCCCGACGGACUCGCCGGUGCAGUUUGCGGCGGCAGCUCAAGGAUGGCAGGAGUAGCUGGGGCCUGCCCUCGCGCUAAGCCGCUUAUCGCCGCUGUGUCGGUCUCUUACGUCAAUCGAAUGCAAGCGUAGCUGCUCGCGACUGAGGCCACCAAGUCGCUGGUGCCAUGCGCUUGGCAGGCUGUAGAAAAUUAGAAAUUAACCUGGAUUUAGAUGGACUAACCGCCGAUUAGGGCCCCUCAAAUUUGGGGGCCCGGUGCUGUCGCGCCGUUUGCACCGUAUAAUGUAUGGGCUUGUUCCCAACUCCUUCCGUCGAUUCCCAAAGACUAGGUCGCCGCAGCCUAACUAAUCCGGAUAGAGGUGAGGCAUCAGCACCAACAUUAGACUUUGUUUGGGCCCAUUUUCUUGUCAGCGUGUUCCAUAUAUGUGAAACGAUAAUCUUGGAACAAGACGUCCGAUAGCGAUUUAUUUAAUUUAUGAGACGCUUAUAUCCUGACGUGCACUCCAAAAACAGAAGCAGGAGCUCGCCAUCCGAUUUUCAUGACUUCCAUGUCCUUCGAGUGCUCGUUGGUCUUGUUCGUCGCCGUCAUUUUUUCCGCCCACCAAAUUUUCCCAAAUCCAUCCCCCACGCACCCCGAGUUUCCAUGCUGCCGGCGCCCAAUCCAAAUUUGUUGGAUUCAUAUCAAAUCGCUGCAGCUUAGAGCAUCUCCAGCAGCCCCCCAACAACAUCUCUUAAUAAUAUAGUAUUAGAAUGUUUCAAUACUAUUUUUAUAGAUUAUUGAAAGAGAUGCUUUUAUAGUUUCUCAAUAACCUUAUCCCAAUACAAUUAAUAUAUUGGGGAGCCAAAAUUCUCACUCUAUUUAAGGGGAGUUAGAGUGAAAUAUUAGGACAACCCAAUAGUCACAGGGGAAAGAAAGAGAUUUUGAGGAAUUUCUGAAGUAUAUCUUCCUUCCAAUAUUAUUAGAUUAUUAGAAAAAAAAGAGUGCUGGAGAUGCUCUUGCAGCGGAACGCGAUCCCAAUCUCGCCCCGUUCUUCAUCGAUGGGCGCCCAGCAUGUUUGCCCUCGGCUGCCGCUCCUCCUCCCCUGCCGGCGGCAGGACGUGGUGGCCAUUCCAGCUGCACCUCCCCGGCUCUCCUCCAUCUCCCUCCUUCGAGACGGUAUCCACAACACUAAUAACCGCUCCCCCUUCCAUGGUAUGCUCACCACGCCAUGUGAAAUAGGUGUUGUGCUCUAGACUGGUGAGACCCUUGAUCUAGUAAAACUCGAUAGACUUCAGUUAACCAAACUUCAUGGGCUUCAAAGGGUGAGACUGUUGAAUGCUGCUCCGAUAGAACCAACCUCCAGCUGAUGAAAAUGUCUGGGUUCAACAUGUUGCAAAUAUAUAAGUCUUAGGUUCCGAUUUGACUUUCCAGAUGUUGCAAGGUAUAUUCUUAAAGAAAAUGGGAUUUUAGAUUAGAUGUUGCAUGAAACAUCUCCUUUUGUUACAGUGGGAAUUUGGUUUACUUGUGAUAUCAUAAGAUCGGAGGUUAGCAAGCUCUCACGCACUUCGGAUGUUGUAGAAGGUGGACGUCGACGUUGCAGACUUUAUUUCUGCAUAUUUCCGGUCUUGUGGAUGUUGCAUAAACAUAACGUCACGUUGCGAUAGGAAUUUUUUUAUCCUACAAUAAAAAGAUAGUGUCAGUUUAUGUAUAUAUUUUUAAUGUUACAAUUGAUAAUUUCUUAUGUUGCUGUAGUUAACGUCUGAUGUUGCGAUGGACGUCCGAUGAGAAAUUUUUCAUCGGACGUCCGGACGCUAGCAGUUCGGUACGUGAAAUCUCAAACUCACCUACGUAAGUCCAUCUAUAUAUAUAUGUAAUUCUGGUGCCGGUGGUUGAUGACGCCUGGAGCCUGGAGGGCUACUACUUUUUCUUAAUAAAGGAAAGGAGUCUUCCUUUGGUCUGAACUAGCCUGAUGACGUUACUUUUCAAAAAUAAAUAAAAAAACUAGCCUGAUGUGUAUUUUCCAAACACAUACAAAGAAGUCAGUAUUCCACUAAUGGAGGUUUCCUCGGCAGCGUUUUGGUGACGUUGCACGUACCGACUGGCUGGUCUCCGCAAGCUCCUGCAUGCACAAAUGGCAAGGAAAUACAGAUAUCAAAUGCUCGGGUAAAUUAUUUUGGUUUUACCGGCCGGCAAGAUAUACUGCUACUGCACAAGUUCCGGAAGCCACGACGCAAUUUUCUCGUUGGAAAGUUUGACCACGUAGAUUUCUGCAGCGGUCUAAUAAUAAACUCGUUGAUUGCGGGAAAUACUACAAAUAUUAGUAAAUUUUGAUUGAAAGUCGACAAUGUGGUUUCGGACGACCUACGUUCUUCUACGGACGACAAAGCACUUCGUCUUUACAAUUCUAGAAACCCAUGACGCCAAGGCUUCUCCAAAAAUAAAUUAACGCCACGGAAACAAGCCUACUAACUACUAUAUAUCGCUGUGUACAUUUCAACUACGACCAACAUGUUUUGACUAGAAUGUUUCAACUCAUUACAGUCUAUGAGAAAUCUGGAAUUUUUGCACUCGUGCGUGCACGCCAAGCGUGUAUGCAGGACCUUAUAUCUAUAUCAUAACAUAACAUAACAAGUAGCUUGGGCGCCUUACUCUACCACUUUGAGGCAAAAACUAGUAAACUCUUCAGAGAGCCAGCUAAGCCGCCUCUCAGGAAAUCUGAAUGUCCGAUCUCAUGGGAUUCCUGAGUUCCAUGUCGUUCUUUACUGCAGCUUUCCUCCUCUUGCCAGCCUUGUCUGCUUCAGAUGACCGGCUUGUCCCAGGCAAGCCGCUCUUGCUCGGCGCCACCGUCAUAUCCGAUGGUGGUGACUUCGCCUUGGGCUUCUUCUCCCCAUCCAAUUCCACUCCGGAGAAGCUCUACCUCGGCAUAUGGUACAACAACAUCCCCCAAUUCACUGUGGUGUGGGUUGCCAACCGGGAAACGCCGGCCAUCUCCUCCUCAGCUCCUUCCCUUGUUGUCACCAACAACACAUCUGAUCUUGUCUUGUCCGAUGCCAACGGCCGUGUUCUCUGGACAACCAACACCACCACUUCUGCAAACUCCUCACCUUUACCGAGGUCAUCGAAUAAUACCGGAUCGGUGGCGGUGCUUAUGAACACAGGCAAUCUCAUCCUACGGUCACCGGGUGGCAUGGUGUUGUGGCAGAGCUUUGACCACCCGACUGACAUGUUCCUUCCUGGCAUGAAGAUACGGAAGAGCCACAAGACGCAUGAAGGCAACCGCUUUGUUUCUUGGAACGGCCCCGACGACCCCUCGCCUGGUGCCUUCUCCUUUGUUCAGGAAACACUCCAAAGCUACAUCUUGAACGGUUCCCUCCCAGAAUGGCGCACCCCCGUGUGGACGGGAUUCACAGUCUCUAGCCACCACUGGGCAAACACCAGCAUUGUGGUAUACAUGGCAUAUGUAGACACCGACAAUGAGAUGUCCACGGUGCUCACAGUCUCCGAUGGUGCGCCGCCCAUUCAGUUAGUGAUGAGCUACUCUGGUCUGCUAGAAGGACGUGUUUGGAAUAGGGAUUCGUCAGAGUGGGCAGGGCUUGGAGUGUGGCCGGACGUCCAGUGUAGCAGGUACGGCUACUGCGGGCCCUCUGGUUACUGCGACUACACUACUGAUGCUACCCCGACUUGCAAGUGCCUUGAUGGGUUCGAGCCUGUGGACAAGGAAGAGUGGAACAAUGGCAGGUUCUCGCAGGGCUGCCAGCGAAAGGAGGUGUUUCGGUGCAGUGAUGGUUUCUUGGCGCUGCCGUAUAUGAAGGUGCCCGACAACUUUGUGCGCAUCGGGAGAAAGACCUUCCAGGAGUGCGCAGCUGAGUGCAGUGCCAAUUGCUCUUGUGUGGCCUACGCCUAUGCGACACUGAAUGGGAGCACAUCCAAUGGUGAUGCCACACGGUGCCUUGUGUGGAUUGGUGAUCAUCAGCUCGUCGACACGCAGAAGAUAGGCGUGCGUCCCUAUAAUACGAACACGGCUGGUGCUGAUAGUCAAGAGACGCUAUAUCUCCGAGUUGCAAGCAUGCCAGGUACCAUUCAUAUCAGAAGAACUUGUGUCGGAAGCAUAUCCAAGACGAACUUGUGGAAUGACCGUUAGAGUCUACCAUCACUUUAAUAUAUUAUCAUUUAUCCGUAUCAUCUUAGCACUGAGGUCUUGCUCCAAAUAUGCAGAUAUAGCAUAAUAACACCACUUUUAGUUCCCCAUGAAAAAUUAAGGGAGCGAGCUACAUACAUCUGUAGUCCGCCCGAACUCAGCUGUUCAUUUACCUGGUAUGUAAAGUAGGCAGCAAGAUCAUGGCAUGUAGUAGGAUAGUGGCAACUAAUUUGGAAUAUGCUCGCAUCCUAGAACCAUAAUCUGAUCACAAGAUAUGGCUGCAUGCAUGUUGGAGUCAAUAUAUGAGCAUCAAGAAUAGAUUCUGAACUCUGAGAUAUAUGUACAGUUUUUUUUCCAUUUCCUAGUGAUCUUAAUUUAUCGUAAGCUACAUCGAGUUAAGGAUUGAUCUUAAUUCCCAGCUAUCAUUAUUUUAGUGGAGAGGGUAAUAUUAUGUAUUGUAAAAAUCGUAGCACCGCUUAGUCUGUUUGAAACUGAACUCUGCAGUCAUGCGGUUCUUAACUUGGCGCUAUAUGAAUAAGUUUUGCACUUACUUGCAGGUAAAAGGACAAAAAAGAACACACUGAAAGUUCUACUACCAAUUUUAGCAGUUGUCAUUGUUCUCACUUCCAUUUUACUUGUAUGGGUCCGCAAGUUCAGAGGUAUGUUUUCUUCUAUAUAGUAUCACAGUUACUCAGGAACAAGUACUAACAACUUUUGGUCGCAGGAAGGAAAACAAAUACAGAAAAUCAAAUGAAGCUAAUGCAUGGAGGUUAUACUACUUCAGACGAACUUGGAAGAGAAAAAAAUACCAGUGAUUUUGAACUUCCAUUUCUGAAAUUCCAAGAUAUUCUUUUGGCGACAAACAAUUUCUCCAGUACAUUUAUGAUUGGACAAGGUGGUUUCGGCAAAGUUUAUAAGGUAAUUUAUAGUGGAACUUCCUUACUUUGUUUUUCCUGGAUUAUUGAUUAUCUAAUUAAGUAAUAUGCACAACAUAUCACAAUCAUGCUUCUCUAUGUGAUAAUUACAAAGGGGACAUUAGAAGGUGGUCAAGAGGUUGCAAUCAAAAGACUUAGUAGGGACUCAGACCAAGGAAAUCGGGAAUUCAGAAAUGAAGUUAUUCUAAUUGCCAAGCUACAACAUAGAAACCUGGUUCGACUUCUUGGUUGCUGCAUUGAGGGAGAUGAAAAGCUGUUGAUUUAUGAGUACCUGCCUAAUAAAAGCUUGGAUGCCAUCAUUUUCAGUAUGUUCUACUGAAUACAAGUUCAAUACUCUUAAAAAAACAAGUUAAAUGUGCGACUGAGUAAUUAUAUAAUUACAGUUUUUAAGAGACAUCCCAUGAUUGUUCAUUGUAGAUCGUGAAAGAAAUGCAACACUUGAUUGGCCAAUAAGGUUCGGGAUAAUCAAAGGAGUUGCUAGAGGACUUCUUUACCUCCAUCAUGAUUCAAGACUAACAAUAGUACACAGAGAUCUCAAAGCCAGUAAUAUUUUGCUAGAUGCAGAGAUGAGACCCAAGAUAGCAGACUUUGGUAUGGCAAGGAUCUUUGGUGACAACCAGCAAAAUGCAAAUACGAGAAGAGUUGUUGGGACAUAGUAAGUACUAUUCUUCGCAUAUUAAUAUAUGGUUGUACCAAAUUCAUCUUCAUAAUUUCUGCAUAUUUCAUACCAGUGGUUAUAUGGCUCCUGAGUAUGCAAUGGAGGGCAUUUUCUCUACGAAGUCUGAUGUCUAUAGCUUUGGAGUCUUACUGUUGGAGGUUGUAAGUGGCAUCAAGAUAAGCUCUUCUGAUCGCAUUCCGAGUUACCCAAACCUAAUAGUCUAUGUAAGUAAAUACUAUGAUUUAGCGGAGUGAAGGGUUUUAAUCUUCUUAUAUAAUCUCAGUGAGUGAUGUAAUUGUCUCAGGCGUGGAACCUUUGGAAGGAAGGGAAGGCAACAGAUUUGGUAGACAAAUGUAUUGCGGAGAACUGCGUACUAGAUGAAGCUUCACUUUGCAUCCAUAUAGGUCUUCUGUGCGUACAGGAAAAUCCUGACGAUAGGCCAUUCAUGUCUUCUGUUGUGCUCAACUUGGAGAAUGGAAGUACAACACUACCAGCGCCAAAUCACCCUGCAUAUUUUGUACAGAGAAAUAGUGAUAUGGAGAAAAAGAGAGAAGAUAUUAUGAACUCCAAGAACACGGUGACUCUUACAAUCAUAGAGGGGAGAUAGAGUAGCUCUUCAUUUUUAUUCUACAACAUCUGUCUAGAUCAAUGCUGUGAAAUAAUUUCUUUUAGCAGCAAUCUGGAAGUUCUAUUAAUACAAGUGUGCUGCUAUCUUUCCCUACUAGCAGCCCUGCUGGGAUAGUCUUCAACAGAUAUAUCAAGCUCAACGCAAAGCAUUCCAUUGAGAUUAUACAGAAAGCAUAAAGUCUCUAAAACAGAAGCUCUACAAAGUAUGGGGGCAGCAAGGCAAGGGAUACUGAUUGUUGCGACCAUCCAGGAAGCCACGGUAUUGGGCGCGGCCGCGCGGGCAUGCACCAUCGUAUGUUGAAGCCUUGAAGGAGACGGAUAGACGGUGACUGCCGGUGGAUACGCGUCCAUUUCGUUGCGCGGUUGCGGUUUCAUUUGGUGGGUCGGCAGUGGCCAUUUGUGCUGGGCCGGGCAGGCUUUGAUGGUCCAAGCUUUUGUAAGGUUAGGCUGGACCCUGCUGGUGGGUUGGAGACAAAUGUGCUUUGGCACGCUGUGGCCUACCUUUUAGGCCGGGGAGUUUUCUUUUCCCUCCUAAUGUCGUGCCGAACUCAAGCCCAGAUUUGGAGCCCAGACUCUUCGAUCACGGACAACGCGCGCUGGGUUGACGUUUUCAGUUUUUGUCGGAGCGCGUCCAGUGGUAGCACCUUGAACAACCCAAUAGCCCACUUUUCUAGCCGGGCUCUACGGUAGCAUCCUGAACGAAAGCCCAAAUCCAUCGCCAAACUUCUCCAACCGGCCCCCAAUGUCAAGUACGUAAUCAUCAUGUUGUCAUAAGUUACUAUGUAUAGUAUUUUCCGGUUCUAUAAUAUACUUGUCGCCUUGCGUUGGGAUCAGCUCAUGCCUCCUCGCCUGGAAUGGACUCGCGCGCUCGGAGUCAACAAGAAUUCCCAUUUCCCAACUUCUUCCGUCGAUCCCCAACGACUAGGUCGCCGCAGCCUAACUAAUCCCGCAUAGAGACGAGGUCAAUGCUGUGAGAUAAUUGCUUCUAGCAGUAAUCUGGAAGUACUAUUAAUACAAGUGUGCUGCUGCUAUCUUCCCUACUAGAAGCCCUGCUGGAUUAGUCUUAAACAGAUGUAUCAAACUCAACUUGAAGCAUUUCAUUGAGGUGAUACAGAAAGCUCUAAAACAGAACAGGACCUCUGCCUAGUAUGGGGGCAGCAGGGCAGGAGAUACCGAUUGCUGCUUGCCAUUGAGCUGAGGUCGUCAUCGAUCACCUGCAGAAGCAACUGCGUAACCUGCUAUCGCUUGCCCGCACGCAGGGACAAGCAAUUGCAACCAAUUGGAUGCAGAGCGCGGGAAUGGGCACACAGGUUGAUCUCCGCCGCUCACAAUCUCCUCUCCUCUGCAUUGGCGUCCGGCGGGCGACGGCCUCAGGCUGAUCGGGCAUACGAGGACGCGCGCCGCGAGGAAUUGAAGCGACUGCUCCCAAAUCUUCUGAGCUGGAAGGCAAGCGUACGCCGGCCCAACCCAAAGCAACUGGUUUCUAAUCCGCUUGGCCGCGUGCAAACUUUUGGACCCUGUAGAAGAUUCAGCCCCCACAGGAAAAGAAAAGAAAGCCCAUGAAGCCCAUCCGCCCCGAAAAGUAAAAGAGAAGAAAAGCUUAUGGGCCCAGAAAUUCCGUGGGGUGCAAGUUAGCCCAACAUCUAAAGGACCCCACGUGCCAGUGACACAUUGGAAGACACCCCACCUGUCUAAUCCGACUCCACCUCGCCGGCCUGCCCAAUCCUUUUCACCUCCAAACCGAAAAAACCCACAGAACCCUAGCCUCCCAACCAUCCUCCUGCUCGCUCCCGCCGUCCUCGUAGUCCAUCCACUCUACUGGCGGCGGCGCGGCGGCGAGAGGAGAGCCAACCCGCCCGGCUUGAUCUGAAGCAUGGAGAAGGUAAGCAAAGGAGUGCGGAUCGAGCAACCCGUCCUCCCCCCUCAUGGUCGUGGGGAUCACCUCUCUGUUUGUGGGACUGAUUUGGGUGAGCUUUUGUGCAGCCGCCCGGGGCGCAGGGGGCGGGGAAGGUUGCGGAGGAGAAGGUACGUGUACUCAUUUACCUAACUCUGUCUCGCGUUCGCAGGGGGCUUGGGAAGUGUGAGAUUAUAAAUUGAACCGCACUUUGGCAGCAAGGUCUGCACCCCCCCCCCCCCCAACAACAUCCCCAUGACUGCUUUGCCUAGACCGUGUUUAGCCCGAAAUUGUAACAUAUAUAGUCUCUGAAUCAACUGUUUGUCUUCUGAGAUGUCUGAGUCAGCAGUUUGUAUUGAGUGGUUGGGUAAUGCAUACUAGUAUGUGUUAGCGGCUCCUCAAUAAAUGCAUGGACAGUAUGAAGUGACAAUUUGUGUACUUUGGUAGUAUAAUGCUCCCCACUCACACAACCACGCACGAAAAAUGGCCGCGGGGGGAGGGGGGUACUUGGCACCUUUGUGCAGUCAGAACUGCAUUUUUUUUGGUGUUUUAGUUAGCAACCCUUUCUGUUCAAUAUUCAAUCCUUUUUAAUUUGUGCAGCAACUUGAUGAGAAAGAGUUAGAAAGGAAGCUGAAAAAAGACCAAAAGGUAUCAGCCAAGUUCUUUUCUUGCUUUGAUUUCGAUAUUGUAUACUCAUUUCCCUGCUGUAUUCUUUUGCGUUGGCCCAAAUGGUUAACUGAUAAUUGGAAAUGGUCAUUACAUCAAACUUAACAGUGAUUUCACUGAAGUUGGAAAUGAGCUGAGUUAUGAGAUCGGACUUUUAUUUUGUUAUGGUGUGUGUAAAUAGUCAUUUAUGGGUGAAAUUUUCACUUGCAGGCAAAAGAGAAAGAAGAGAAAAAACUUAAGGCAAAACAAAAGGAGGCAGCUAGGCUCCAGGUUCAAUUAUAAUGCUCUUGAAUUUGUAUAUGACUGAACAGAUGAUCCAGAUAUCUAGUAAGUGAAAUGCUUGUUGGAUAUGACUUAGGCACAAGCAACCUCAGAUGGAACAAAGAAGACUGAGAAAAAACAGAGGAAGAAAGCUGUGGAGGAUGAAAAUCCAGAGGAUUUCAUUGAUCCAGACACUCCUAAUGGACGGAAGAAAUUGCUUGCGCCUCAGAUGGCCAAGCAAUACAGUCCAAAUGCAGUUGAGAAAUCGUAUGAUCUUUUUUGCAUUUGUUGAUUUUAUAAUUCCUAGCACUGUUAAUGUCUAGCUCAACUGCAUGGUUUUUUCUUUUUAUGCAGAUGGUAUGCCUGGUGGGAAUCAUCAGGAUAUUUUGGCGCAGAUUCUGCAAGCACAAAACCACCAUUUGUUAUAGUAAGUGAUUCAUGCUCUUGAAGGUUGUGCAAGAUAAGCUAGAAGCUGAUUUAGAAUACUGCAUCUUUUUACAUAACUGUAGUGCUUUUAUAUUGUCAAAUAGUGGGUAAGCUUCCAACAAAGAGUUGUUAUUUCUUUUCAGGUUUUGCCACCGCCAAAUGUGACUGGAGCUCUUCACAUAGGCCACGCGCUUACAGUGGCUAUAGAGGUAUUCUUUUUUUUUUACAGAUAUGCCAUGUUAGCACUAUAGACAUUGACUAUACAAUGAUUUUAUUCUCGUUACAUUAACCAACGCAGGAUGCUAUGAUACGCUGGCGUAGGAUGUCAGGCUACAAUGCUCUAUGGGUUCCUGGAGUGGACCAUGCUGGCAUUGCCACACAGGUCUGCAUUUAAGAAUUCAUUAAUCUCGCGGAAUUUAUAUGAUGAAAUAUAAACUUUGGAUAAUGUGAUUUUGUUGCUGAUAUGUUCUUUUUGGCUGGAUAUAUUGUUAAUCAAGUUGUGAAAUAAACAUAUGUGGACACCCAUGCUGGCAGCGCUAGUAACAAUGUGUAGCCAUUAAAAGAAAUCUGUCAACAUGGGUGUUGGGACAUGUUAAUAGAACAUACUUCUGCAAUUUAGUGAUUUUUUUAAAAUCAUGUUUUGAAUUUCAUUUCCUACUUUUGGAUGUUUACUGUUUAGCACUUGUUCAUUCAUUUGUGCAUAGCCAGAAUCCCUUAUAUUUCAGGAUGGAGGUAGCUUUUUUGUUGCCUCUAUUCCCUUAUAAGCAAAUCAAUAUUGUAUAAUUUUGGCCAAAUGUGUGUUUUGUGUCUGCUCAUUUCAACUUAUAUUAUUUCUAUGAUUUAACUUACCAUUUGUAGUUCGGAUUUCUUGUUUGGACUAAUUGGUGGACAUUUGAGUACUUCAAUGUUUUGUACUUACUUCUUUUUGACAUCUGCUCUCAUGUUUAUCAGGUUGUCGUAGAAAAGAAGCUUAUGCGCGAAAGGAAGCUGACAAGGCAUGACAUAGGGCGUGAAAAUUUUGUUUCUGAAGUAAGCACUUUUUUCCAUGACAUAUUAUUUUUCUCGGCCAAUUCUUUAUUUGUUUCCAUUAUAUUACUUGGUGUCUAUGUUCUGAAAUGAAAAAGUUGUCUGUUUUGUUUGAAUGCUUAAUCCUGUAUCUGAUGUAUCAUUUUUCUGUUCAAUUCAUUCCUUCCAUUUUAUCAUCUGACAAACAGGUACUCAAAUGGAAAGAUCAAUAUGGUGGUACCAUAUUGAAUCAAUUGCGCCGGCUUGGGGCCUCACUUGAUUGGUCCCGUGAGGUAACAUACCUAUUUAUUUUAGUUGGGAAAAGGCAUGACUCGUGCUUGAACCAUGCAUAGUAACUUCAUUUUAAACUGGAUACCAGGCUUUUACAAUGGAUGAGCAAAGAUCUAAAGCUGUAACUGAAGCUUUUGUCAGGUUACACAAAGAAGGCCUGAUAUAUAGGUUAGUUUCUCCACAUUUUCUGUUCAAGUGUUAAAUUGAAAAUUUUAUAUAGGUUAGUUUCUCCACACUUUCUGUUCAGGUGUUAAAUUGAAAAUUUUCCCACUGUCAAUUUUGCUUGAUUGUUGAUCUACGCUUCUAUUUUUUAGUUGCCAACCUAGUUCUUUCACAUUUUAUGAAUGGUCUAUUCCUUUUCAGAGAUUAUCGCCUCGUGAACUGGGAUUGCACACUUCGAACUGCAAUUUCGGACAUCGAGGUUGAUGGAACUUUUAUAUUGUUUAUGAUAUGAUAGACAUUGUUAUCAUUUGUAUGCAUGAUUAAGAUAAUUAAGAUGGAAAAUGCUGUUUUGACAGGUUGAUCAUAUUGAUCUUAAAGAAGAAACUAUGUUAAAGGUCCCUGGUUAUGCCAAUGAGGUGCAGUUUGGUGUAUUGAUAUCUUUUGCCUAUCCUCUUGAAGAAGGCCUGGGUGAGAUCGUUGUAGCAACCACCAGAAUUGAAACGAUGCUGGGCGAUACAGCAAUAGCUGUUCACCCCGAGGAUAAAAGGUAUAAGCAUCUGCACGGAAGGUAUGCAGUCCAUCCCUUCAAUGGGCGGAAACUCAAAAUAAUCUGUGAUGCUGAGUUAGUUGAUCCCACUUUUGGUACUGGGGCUGUAAAGGUAAGAGUUGCUGCUGAGGGCUAUUUUUCAUAAUCUUACUUUACCUACUUGGACCUUCCCCAUAUUCUUAGAAUUGUAUUGUUUUCUGGUUUUUAUGCAGAUUACACCUGCCCAUGAUCCAAAUGACUUUGAGGUUGGAAAACGGCAUAACCUUGACUUCAUCAAUAUAUUCACCGAUGAUGGAAAAAUAAACAGCAAUGGAGGUGCACAAUUUGAAGGAAUGCCCAGAUUCACAGCUAGAGUUGCCGUUAUUGAGGCGCUGAAGGAAAAGGUAUUACUGGAUUUGCUUAACUAUCCACUAAAAAAAAUUCCCUGAAAUUGUAUGAAUAUAUGGAUUAUAAUGUGUGACAUGGCAUGCAUGAUUUAACAGAGUGAAAAUGCAAAUAGUUAUCAUGGUCUUUGUAUCAUAAACAUGCUAUAUAUAUUCUAGCAUGACUUUCAGUUCAGCAUUUGUGCUGGAAACAGCUUAUCAGUGUCAGGUUGGGUUCGGCUAUCCAUAAAUAUAUAUUUUUUAAUCUCAUGUCUUACAGAUAUCCUUCGUGCUGUGGAAAUUAUUGAUAGCUUAAUCAUUUUUAUAAAAAAUUAAGUCUUUGCCUUCUUGUUUUAUAUGAUGGAUUAACAUUUUUUUAUUCUUCUAAUUAAGGGGCUCUAUAAAGACACAAAGAAGAAUGAAAUGAGCUUGGGCGUUUGUUCAAGAACUAAUGAUGUAGUGGAGCCUAUGUUAAAGCCACAGUGGUUUGUUAAUUGCAACUCCAUGGCCAAAGCGGGCCUUGAUGCUGUAAGGUCCAAAAAGAUUGAGAUUAUUCCCCAGCAGUAUGAACAAGACUGGUACAGGUAUAUCUUAUGAUGUGUCAUCUCUUGCAAUUAUCAUGUCAAAUGAAUCAGAUAAACCUGAAAUAAAAUUAUCCAUUAAUUACUGCUGUCCUUGCAGAUGGCUUGAAAAUAUACGUGAUUGGUGUGUGUCGAGGCAACUAUGGUGGGGACAUCGUGUACCUGCAUGGUAUGUGACACUAGAAGAUGACCAGGAUAAAAACCUUGGUUCUGACAAUAACCGCUGGAUAGUUGCAAGAAAUGAAAGCGACGCAAACCUGGAGGCGCAGAAAAAGUAUCCAGGAAAGAAAUUAUGGCUAGAUCAAGACCCUGAUGUGCUGGACACAUGGUUUUCAUCUGGUCUUUUCCCCUUAACAGUACUUGGUUGGCCGUCCGAUACCGCUGACCUCCGUGCUUUCUACCCUACUUCGGUGCUAGAAACUGGACUUGAUAUUCUCUUCUUUUGGGUAGCAAGGAUGGUGAUGAUGGGACUGCAACUGGGUGGUGAUGUGCCAUUUGAGAAGGUAUAGCACAAGUUCUGGUUCACCGCCAUUUAAACUGUAUCAUAUGAUUGUAGCAGUCUAGUCUAAUACAUUUUGUUCACGUUAGAUACUCUAUUCAAAACCUAUCUCUGCCUACUUUGUCCCCUUCAUGUGGCUUAAUUCUGUAACGCUGUAAUCUGACCAAAAAGAGACCCCCAUGCUAGUGCAAUCUACCUGUAAUAUUGUGGAUGUUUAAUCAAGUUACUGUAAAUUUGUUAACUGAAAUGAGGAACCUGCCCAUUUUAAAUUUUUCUCUGCUUAUGUUCUCCUCCCUUAAUCUCUACAGCCCGCACUGAUUUCCUUCUGAAUGAACUCUGCACCUUUUUAAUAUUUACCAUAUAUUGCUUACAUAUUUGGUGACAUCAUCCUUUAUUUCCGUUAUAGUAAAGGCAUGAAGUUACCAUCUUUCCUUUUGCUUGUGGCUCCAAAUUAUAUCCUUUUAUUUCUGAACUCAAUUAACAAGCCAACCAUAGGAGCUACAAAAUUUCGACACUUCAUAUGGUAGUGAAGUAUAUUUAUCUCAUGUCCAAUGAUCAAUGACCACACACCCUCUUCUUAGGUUUAUUUACAUCCUAUGAUCCGUGAUGCACAUGGGAGAAAGAUGUCAAAAUCACUUGGUAACGUUGUUGAUCCUCUUGAGGUGAUAAAUGGCAUGUCACUGGAAGGUCUUCUGAAACGUUUGGAAGAAGGCAAUCUGGAUCCAAAUGAAUUAAGCAUUGCGAUAGAAGGGAAGAAGAAAGAUUUUCCUGAUGGCAUAGCUGAAUGUGGUACCGAUGCCCUCCGCUUUGCACUGAUUGCUUACACAUCCCAGGUUGUUAUGGUGCCCAGUUGAGUUUUUUCUUUAUUAUACAUGCAUUUAAGCUUUUUUUACAAUCUGUUUUGUUUCUCAGUCUGACAGGAUAAAUCUUGAUAUCAAGAGAGUGGUUGGAUACAGACAGUGGUGCAACAAAUUAUGGAAUGCCAUCCGUUUUGCGAUGGGCAAACUGGGUGAUCAUUACACUCCACCUGCAACUGUAGAUGUUUCUUGCAUGCCACCAAUAUGCAAGUGGAUACUCUCAGUGCUUAACAAGGCCAUUGGCAAAACUGUUACCUCUUUAGAAGCAUACAAAUUCUCUGAUGCAACAUCUACUAUAUACUCGUGGUGGCAGUACCAGUUAUGUGAUGUAUUUAUUGAAGCUAUCAAACCUUAUUUCUUCAGUGAUUCUCAAGAGUUUGAAUCAGCAAGAGCUGCCUCCAGAGAUACCCUGUGGAUCUGCCUGGAGACUGGUCUGCGCCUGCUCCACCCAUUCAUGCCUUAUGUAACAGAAGAGCUGUGGCAGCGUCUUCCACAGCCCAAAGAUUCUUGUAGGAAAGAUUCAAUUAUGAUUUCGGAAUAUCCAUCUCUUGUUGAGGUAAUACCCGUGUCGUAAAGAAGAUUCUUGUAGGAAAAAUUCAAUUGGUGAUUUGAGAACUUAACACAUGGAAACUAUUGUUCUUUAUGACAGGAAUGGACUAAUGAUAGACUUGAAAAUGAAAUGGACAUUGUCUUGGACGCCGUGAACAGAAUAAGAUCGUUGAAGCCACCAACAGAUUCAAAUGAAAGGUAUGUACAUGGUCAUCUGUUUUGUUUUUGUGUUUGGUAUUUGCUUGUUUGGUUCUUCUUCAACCUGCUUUUGCAAAAUGGAGUAAUAUCUUGUUGAUAUUUUCGUCUUUCUUUACAGACGACCUGCUUUUGCACUUUGCCGAGGCCAAGAGAUUGCUGCCACUAUCCAAUGCUAUCAAUCUCUAAUCUUGUCUCUUUCCUCCAUAUCACAUCUCAAGGUUAUGCCUUACAUUUCUGUACGACACUGUUAUUUUUCAUUAGGGAAAAAUAUAUGCCUUGCAUCACCUACAAUCAAUAAUCCUGAAACCUAAAUGUACUUUUAUUGCUUGAAAUUGCUGUUGUUACCCGCUGAUUCUUGCCAAAUAACUGUUCUUCUUGGCUUUCUUCAUCUUUUCAUAUUUAUAUGCUACAUACUUGAGAAAAAAUUGAAUUCCACCUGAAUUAAAAGCUCCUGAACAAGAGCACUGAUUUUUUAUUUGGAAUUCUUCAGAUCCUGACAGAGAACGAUGAAACUCCAGCCGACUGUGCCACUGCUGUUGUAAAUAAAGACUUAUCUGUGUACCUUCAGCUCCAAGGAGCUCUAAAUGCAGAUGCUGAACGUGAAAAGCUAAGGAAGAAAAAGGAUGAAAUUCAAAAGUACGUGCGCUCAUCCUGUCUUCACGGUCCACUUUUUUACAGUUAAGACCUGCGCAUGUAUCGGUAUUCAUUAACAUGGUUGGUCUCUUGACAUACACGCAGGCUACAACAUGCCUUGGCACAGAAAAUGGACGCCUCUGGUUACCGUGAGAAGGCUCCACAGAAUGUGCAGGAAGAGGACAUGAGAAAGCUCACCGCAUUAUUGGAACAACUAGAGGUCAUCAGUGAAGCUGAGAAGAAAUUAGAUGCAAAAAUUGGAAAUAACUGAGUCUGAUGCCUCUGUUUUAAAGAUGCUCUGCUUAUACCAAAGUUGAUCCCACAUUUUUUUUACCGGAAAGUCAGUUAUGCACCUGUAUACUCAGGUUUAGAAUCGAUGGUUUUGGUCGAAAUUAAAGUCACAUUUUCCAGCUUGUAAGAAUAUACUGACGGUCUGUACAGAACCAUAUUUUUGGAUGUUCGAUACUGCCAAGCUUUUGAUGUUGAUGCAUGUGGGCACUAUGUCAGAAUAUGCUGUAGCUGUAUUAAUUAUUAUUGAUGUUUCCUGUCAGCAAGCUUCGAGGUGUACUCCUUCUGUUCUAAAACCUAAUAUUCACAAUAUCAAAUUAUCAUAAUUAGAUUCUAUUAUGAAAUAUAUUUUCAUAGUAGAUGUUAAUUCUCUCUUUUUUAAAUAAAUUUGGUUAAAUUUUCAUGACGCCUUAUAUUCUAGGACGGAAUGAGUAUGCAACAAUGCGUCACUUUUGUAGCUAUUCUUUUGCGGCCAAACUUGUGAAUCAAGAAAAUACUGCACGCUUUUCGUUCAGAAGUGUGUGUUUGAAUAAGUUGGGCUUCUGUGUUGCCACGGGAAAUGAGCAAACGUAGCGGCUGCACCCACAAAGCACGCCGUGCACCAACCCCUGAUUGCGCCAUGCGGGGAGUGCGCAGAACCACACGAUGCCAAGGGCGCGGCGCCGCGGAUCGUGCUCGGGGCGCGUCGCGUGCCCCACUGCGCGCCACCAGCGGCGGCGGCGGCGCUGGGGCUCAUGUCGCGGUCCGCGCCGCGCGUGUCGUUCCUCCCUCGCCGGCCCCAGCCGGACAUGGACAUCAUCCCGAUGAAGUUCAUGUCCAUCCGGCUGCACCGGCGUCGUCCUCACGCUGGACGGCCUUACGGCCACGGACGCAGCCAUUCGCGCGCACUUCACCUAAGCCAAGCCCAGCGCGCGAGGGUGCAAGCCAGCCGCGCCGCGAGGGAGAGCCUGCUUCGAAACUUUCAAGCGCCCGUGCGCUCGCCGCGCUGGGCACCACAUGGACGUUUCUAGCCGAUCAUGCUAUGGGCGCACGCCCCCGCGGCGUGGGGAUUGCACGAAAUUGGCAUCCCCCGUGGCGGGCGCUCGGUUCGCCGGCAGACCGGCAGAGCCACGGACUGGAGGGAAGAACACUCGUGAGAACAAUGCACCACUCUCUGUGUGAAGGGACGCUAGCUACGGGCUGCAGCUGCCGCCGCCGCUGUACUGGAGGCUGCCCCCUGGUUAACGUCGCGGCAGCAGAGGGCCGCUCCCUCAGCGCCACGCCACGGCGCCAAGCUCGACUCGCCUGCUCCGGGCUCCCUCGGCGCGAUCUGCGCGCCGGCGCGCGCUCCACGGACGACGCAUUCUCCAUCUCCACCUCCCACCGACCGGCGACGCGCAAAUCGUCCCCGCGCCGCCGCCGUCCCUGGCGGCGGGCAAGAACGAAGGCGCGACACGGACGCCGAUGUGGGCGCACAAAGGUACGUGGCCGACUGAGUGCUAGGUACGAGAAUACGGGCAGGGAGCAGGACGGGAACAGCGUUGCGCGGCUAAUCGCCGGCUCCGCGGCUGGCAGGUCGUGCUCCGGGCGCGCUAGCCCAGCGGCCCGCGGCGAGGAGUGGCGCGCGGAGGUGGACGGGGUGGUCGUGAUUUCAUUUACCGUCCACCCCACACGGGAAUUUCUCUUUUCUCUUUCUCGAUCUGUAGAUCGUAUCUGAACUUGAAAUUUUGCGUGACACCUUGUCACCGCGUUCCUCGUCUCCAUGAAUUUUCGUAGGAUAUUUGCGCACCGGUGCCGCCGUCAAAUGGGGAUUUCCCGGUGGACGGGGGUGGUCGUUAUUUCAUUUACUGACCACCCCUGCGGAAACUUCUCUUUUCUGCUUCUUCCUGUAUGCAUGACAUCUGAGUCUGAAAUUUUGUAUGGUUAUUGGGGACAAUAGGCCCCAUCUCUGUGAAUUUUUAUGGGAUUUUUUAGCUCUUGUGCCGCCGGGAAAAUAGGAUCUCUCAUGUGGCCGGCCUGUUCACCGGUCCUGCAGGGCACCCGAUGAGCAGCGGCCGUGGACUGCAGACACGGACGUGUUCAGGACUUCAGGCCAUGGAUUACACGUGAGAUCCGAGACCGCGGCGAAGGAGCUAGGCGCUGCGGGCUACGGCUGCACUUGGUGGAGGAUCUUCAGUCCUUGUCCGUCGCAGUGCUCCCGCUCGGCUCGUCAACGAUAGGGCCCUAUAGGCCUUCGGCCGGUUGUACUGGCUACAGGGAGCGUCCGGUCGUCGGUGAGGAGCUAGGCAUGGAGGUCUGGGAGGAGAAGGCGCCGGGUGUUGACGCCACGGAAGAGGGAGGGGAGCGCGCCGUACGCGGACGGUGAAGUCGCGACGCCGCGCUCGUCGAGCCUGUACAGCGCGGCUUCGGGAAGGCGAAGUGAGUGCUCUUGCCGGCGGGACAUGGAGGCGUGAAUCCUGGAUCGUCGGGAGCACCAAGUCAGACUCGCGGUCACCGGAGCCGGGGAUGGCAUGGCCAUGGCGAAGUCGUGCCGGCCGGCGAUGGGUCAGACCUCCUCACCUCCUUCAACGAGUCCGGUGAAUUCCUCGAUCUGCACCGUAGACUGUCCAUCCAACGGCGGCAGGUAUCGGUGAGAUGGACUCUGGUCAACAGAUUUAACGCUCUUUGCAAAAAACGCCCUGAAAUGGAUCGCGGUCAAUAAUCGCGAUCCAAUUUUUUUCGUUUAACCUACUAAAAUGGAUUCAAUUUUUUCAUAAACCCCCUGAAAUGGAUCGCGAUCAAUAGUCGUUAUCCAAUAUUUUUCACUUAACCCCCUAAAAUGGAUUCAAUGUUUUGCAGAAACCCCCAGCUCUGUUCGUCUACCUCGCAUCAUGAGUUCAAGACGGACCUCAAUGGGGGAUGGAGGCGGCCAGCGGCGACGCUUUCGCCCACGACGGUGCCCGCGUACGGCACCCUGAAUCGUGGUUUCCCCAUCCACACCCGCUCCUGGUGGUCUCCGCCUCCCCAUACUUCCGUACUGGCACCGCGCCCGCGCGCGCACGCCACAAACUGAACCUAGCGAAUGUGCCGUCCUUCCGCGCCGCCGGCGAGGAUGUGGACGUGCUGGAUAGGGUGCAACUGGCGCGGGUGCGGGGACCAACAGAUGCGAAUAGAUUCUGAUGAAGGCACAGCCACCACACGUCUCCGUCGUAAUGUACAGCUGAAAAAGGUUAGCAUUGCUCUAUUGUCUUGUCUGUCUACCGUCCCUGAAGAACAGUCAUGGUGAUGGAGUUCCUGGAGCUCUGAACAUCAUCUCCUUUUACCUUACAGUUCCUCUCUGCGAAAUACGCCGGCUGAUCCGGCGCCGGCAGAGACACGCUCCCGUUCUCCAGGAUGGACACGACAGACGACAUGAGCGGCCGGCCGUUCGGGUCGUCCUGAACGCAGAGGAGCCCGACGUGGAUGCUGAGCAAGACUUCAUCCAACGCGCAGCUCUCCACGAUGGAUGAGUCUACCAGGUCACUUGCAUUCCCUUCCUUCCACAGCUUCCAUGCCUGCAAAAAAAUCAAACCAAAUCAUAUUUUCUCAAAAACUGAUAAAUCAUUGCCUGCACGGACUGCACUCCAAGUGGUCUUAUACUAUGUACUUACAUAGGCUACAAGGCCUGGAGACCCCAUUAUGUCAUCGGUAGAGCUUAUCCUGACGCCGCUAACAAUCUCCAGGACCAAUAUGCCAAAGCUGUAGACGUCAGACUUGACAGAGAAGACGCCCUCAAUUCGAUAUUCAGGAGCUAUGUAGCCACUAUUAACACCAUCAGAAAUUCAGACUUCAGAGUCGUCAGGCACAAACCAUGUCUAAUCAUAUGCAAAAUUCAGUGUUGAAAGACAAAAUCGAAGUAUUACUCACUAUGUUCCGACAACUCUCUUAGUGUUUGCCUUCUGCUGGUUUUCGCCAAAUAUCUUGGCCAUACCGAAAUCUGCUAUUUUGGGUCUCAUCUCUGCAUCCAACAAGACAUUACUCGCUUUGAGGUCCCUGUGUAUCACUGUCAGUCUUGAAUCUUGAUGGAGAUACAGAAGACCUCUAGCCACGCCCUUGAUGAUCCCAAAUCUUGUCGGCCAAUCCAGCAGAGAUUUCCUUUCGUUGUCUGCAUUGAACAACAAUACCAUACGGGGAUAAUGAUUACUUUUUAGAGUUAGGAUCAUGUUACUUCAAUGUGACAUUUUAGCAGAUUCAGUUAUGAACUUAUGAUGAAUGGAACAUACCGAAAAGGAUAGCAUCUAGGCCUUUAUUGGCCAAGUACUCAUAUAUCAGCAACCUCUCAGCUCCCUCGGUGCAGCAACCGAGAAGCCGAACUAAGUUCCGGUGCUGCAGUUUGGAAAUCAAAAUAGCUUCAUUCUUGAAUUCCUCUAUCCCUUGUUCAGAAUCCUUGCUGAGCCUCUUGACAGCGACUUCGCGACCACCUAAUAAUGUCCCCUUCAGAAUUAUAGAACAAUAACUGAGUGUUGACUCUUGAGUACUAUAAUCCAAUUCAUGGGUUCAGAUGGAAAAAGGAUAUUGCUGCAGAACAUGAUAGUACCUUGUAAACUUUUCCAAAACCUCCACGCCCGAUCAUACAUGCUCUCGAGAAGUUAUUAGUUGCCACAGCAAUAUCACUGAACUGUAUGGAAGGGAAUUCAAGAUCUUCAGUAGGGUUUCCUUCUCCAAGUUCACUUGAUGUGCGCACACUGCCAGGCACCAGCUUCUUCUCACUUUCACUGCUUAUUCUCUUACCUGCAAAAUUGAUGUUAAACAGCAUCUAUUUUGUGAUAACAUGUACUUCCUCUGUUUCACAAUUGUUGUUGUUUUAACUUCUACUAUUCUCAAAAUACUUGCUGUUCUACAACUCCAUUGUCAACUUUGACCCAUGUUUUCCAAUCCUACCCGUACUUACUAAAUGCGCAUUUCAGAGUUUGUACUUUCGAAAACAUAAAUGCACAAUUGAGAAGAUUAAUUAAUGAUAGGAUGGUCCUUUAAUUAUUGUGUCUAAGGCUCAAACAACAGUAUUGUGAAACGGAGAAAGUAUACAGAUAAACUACAAAAGGAAUAUAAGUGUACCUUUGGCUCUGCACUUACAAAACCACAAAAGGACAAUGCAUGUGACAAUCAAAACACUUGCCAACACUGGAAGUAAAAUUUUCACAGUUUUUGUCCCUGUCCUUUUGCCUGCACAAAUACAGGCGAAUGCCAUGAGCAAUUGCAAGUAGAUGCUUUUGCUGCCGGUUUAAAAUGGAGACAGUGAUACGAGCUCACCGUACAUAUAUGUGAGUACAGUGUGCCCAUGUCAAUGCCAGCCUUAUAAUCGGAAAAAGAAAAAAAAUAGAAAAUAAAAUCAAACCUGUGAAUCCGGCAGGAACCCGGAGGUUAAGCGUCUCGGCGGUCACGCCCCAGAUCGCGCCGAUCAUCUGCGCGUCGACCAGCUCCCCUGUCCACACCAGGCACCGCGCAAUGUCACCCUUGGCGCUGCUGCUGCGCAGGCUCGCGUACGCGUACGCCACGCAGGAGCAGUUCCGGCGGCACGCCGCGGCGCAGUCGUCGACGGAGAUCAUGUUCCCGAGGAGCACGAACUUGUCCGGCACCUUCAUGUUGGACAUCGCCAAGAACGCAUCCCCCUCGCCGCUGCCGUCGCGGCACGGCGCCAGCGCCUGACUUCGGCGGCAGCCCCGCGAGAACACGCCGCGGCUCCACUCCCCUUGGCUCGCCGGCUCGAAGCCAUCGAGGCACUUGCACGUCGCCACGGCCUGCGAGUGGUCGCAGUAGCCGUAGGCGCCGCAGCUGCCGUAGGGGCUACACGCGCGGGACGGCCAGGACUCGAGCGUCGCCCACGCCGACGCGUUGCGGUUCCAGCUCAGAAGCUGGAACUUGCCGGCGUCGGUCACCACGUACCGCGUGGGCGGGGCGCCGUCGGCGACGGAGAAGCUCGAGUAGAUCUCCUCCUCGCUGUCGACGACCGUGACGUAGAUGACCGUGCCGGUGGCACCGUGGUACUUGCCGGCGGUCAUGUACCCCGUCCAGACCGAAGUGCGCCAGUAGAUACGCGUCCCGUUCCACAGCAGCAGCUGGAGGGACGUGUUCGGGUCCAUGCCGUAGGAGAAGCUCCCCGGCGAGGGGUCGCCGGGACCCUUCCACGAGACGAUGCGCCAGCCGUCGACCCCGUCGUGCGGGCGGUAGCGCCGCCCGACCUUCAUGCCCGGGAUGAACGUGUCCGUCGGGUGGUCGAAGCUCCGCCACAACGUCGCACCGUCCGGCGAUAGGAUGACGAGGUUACCGUCGUUCCGAAGCACCGCCGCCGUCGAACCAGGAGUACCUGAGCUGGUGGCGCCAGUGAUGUUCGUCGUCCAUACGACGCGGCCGCUGGCGUCGGACAAGAUGAGGUUGGAGCCGCCGUUGGCCAGCGCAAGCGACGGCGCGGAGGAGGAGUUGCCGGAACGCCCGUCGACGAUGACCGGCGCGUCCCGGUUGGCGACCCACACCACGGUUUGCACGGUCACGGUGGUGUUGCUGUACCAUAUGCCGAGGUACUGCCUGGCCGGCGUGGCGUCGGAGGGGGCGAAGAAGCCCAGCACGAAGGCGCCGCCGUCGGACACGAUGGUGUCACCGGGCAGCAGCGACUCCCCGUGGGUCAGCUUGUCGCCGGCCGGCGAGCACAGGCGCGGCAGGAGGAGGAGGACGGCGGCCGUGAUGCAGGUGCAGCGCGACCACUCCAUGGUCGUUGCACGUCAUUCAGUAUGGCACCAAAGAAAUAGGUCGGUAUAGUUUAUCGAAGCUGCAGACAUCCUCCUUCUCGCCUCUCCAGUACGGUUGCACAAAUGAUACACUACUCCCGUGCCAAGACUUGGCCUGGAAGCUGAUGGUGAUAGAAAAUUCUGGGUUCUCACUUGACUAGUUUCAGCGCUCCGAGUUUCAAAGAAGCUCGGAGCUUGACGCCUGGGCAGUUGGCCUCAGGAGGACGCUUGGCAUUGGUGCGCCUACAUGGACAUGGUCGCCUAGUGGCAGGUGAUGAGGUGAUGAACCAAGAAACGAGUGGCACGCGGACCAGUCAUCUCUGUAUGUGUCACAUCGAAAUCGACACCACCAACUGCGUUGAUUUCUGGGUGUAGCUGGGGACGAUGCCGCGACAGAGUUGGAGCGUCGCAGGAGGGUGUGGAACCACGGUUUCUGGCGCGCGCUGCUUAUUCAAACAGCGCGUGGAGUUCUGCUGUUCUUCGAAGCACGAUCUUAACUGAAGAUCACGAGGCAUGGCCCGGAAAGAAAAAUAAACAGGCUGAGUUCUGCUCCGUGGUGGCUCUGAAAUAUUCAACAUUGCUAGAAACAAGGACCAGUCUUCUCUGCAUGUGUCACGCACGAUGAAAUUAAAUCUGAACCAACAACCACACUGAAUCAGAGUUCUGUUUAGAACGAAGCUGGCAUGACGCUGGAACGGGAUACGAAGUCGUGUGGAAGCACGGUUCCUCGCGUGCCAUUCUCAGAUUCAACAAUUGCUCACAGUUCGUGCUGCUCAAUGAAAUUUCUUCAUUCAUGAGUUACCCUUCUGACAACAUUGUAAUUUUCUUUGCCUUGUUAUUAUUUUGAUUAAUAUGAUACGAAAAACAUAAUUUCUUCACAUCUAAGUUUUCUAACAUAACCAAAAAUGAAACUGAAAAUUAGGAAACGGCUUAAACCUCAGACGGUGAGGGAGCUUUUGUUGAGAAAUAGUUGGACAGUGUUUUGGUACAUCAGAAACAGAUUAUCGUCCCUCUAUAGUUGUGAGAGUAAGGGAAUUCAUGGAAUUCUCAGUUCUGUCCCUUAUUUGCUCUACAUCACUAGUACUUGUCUGUCCAUAGUGCCCAGGGUUGUUGGGUGUUGGCAGUCUGGUGCUUCCAUUCUCUAGAGUGAACACAACAGAAGACAUAAGUGGUCUAUCAUCUGGGUUUUCCUGAACGCACAAGAGGGCCAUAUGACUGCAAAGCAAAACUUCAUCUAGUGAGCAAGUGCCCAUAAUAUAUGGGUCUGCCAAAUCUCUUGCCUUCCCCUCCUUCCACAUGUUCCAGGCCUGAAACAACCAAAACUAUUAUUUGGAAUUGCGGUAAUGCGAGAGCCUCUGCCCUCUAGACUCUGAAUUUAGUUUAUGACUUCAGGAAAUGCAUAUACUCACAUAGACUAUUAGGUUAGGAAAACCCAUGAUGCCACCACUGGAGCUUCUCCUUAUACCAGUAACAACCUCCAAGAGUAGGACACCAAAGCUAUAGACAUCGGACUUGAUGGAGAAGACGCCUUCCAUUGCAUAUUCCGGAGCCAUAUAACCACUGUUUAGUCAAUUCACGUGCAUAUAUUAUUGCGUGAAAGUUGAAUGUAGUUACACUUGUUUGAAAGAAAAUAUAAAUAGUUACUUACUAUGUUCCGACAACAUGAUGAGUGUUUGCAUUUUCCUGGCUAUCGUUGAAUAUCCUUGCCAUGCCAAAGUCUGCUAUCUUUGGUCUCAUCUCUGCAUCUAGCAAAACAUUAGCAGCUUUGAGAUCUCUAUGAAUUAUGGUCAACCUCGAAUCUUGGUGGAGAUAAAGAAGCCCUCUUGCAACCCCUUUGAUUAUAUUAAGUCGCAUAGGCCAAUCCAACAACAUUUUCCUCGAAUUAUCUGCACGAAGAUUCAAGGUAACAUAAUUUGGCUGUUAGGUGCUAUUUGUAAGAACUUAUAGCGUGUCACAUACCAAAAAGGGUAGCAUCUAAGCUUCCAUUAGCCAGGUAUUCAUAAAUCAGGAUUUUCUCAUCAGCCUCAACACUGCAACCAAGAAGUCGAACCAAAUUUCUAUGUUGCAAUUUAGCAAUCAGAAUUACUUCAUUCUUGAAUUCCUUUGUUCCUUGCUCAGAAUCUUUGCUUAACCUUUUGAUAGCAACUUCUCGACCACCUAGCAUCGCCUUCAAAAAAAGAAUAAGGACAAAAGUUAGAUUUGAGUUUAUCACACAAGCAGCUCAAUGUAAAUGGAGCACAUUAUUAGAAAUCGAUAAAAAAACAAUUUAAUUUCAUGACCCGAACUAGUAGGAUGAAAUCACUGUCGAAUUAAGUAAUUACCUUAUAAACUUUACCAAAACCCCCCUGCCCAAUCUUACAUGCCUCUGAGAAAUUGCAUGUUGCAUCCACGAUAUCCUCAAAUCUAACAGAGAGGAACUCAAAGUCUUGGGCGUGGUUUCCUUCCCCAAGUUCAUCAGAUGCACUCAUGUCAUCCAAAGUUAGCUUCUUAUGCUUUGCACCAUAAUUUACUCUACCUGCUUUCCAAAUUCUAUGACCAAUUGCUCCUCCGAAGAAAGAAAUAUAGACUUGUAAGAAUGCAACUAUGUUGAGUUCUACUACCUUUGAACUUGAACCAUGCUAGGGAAAUGGCAGCGAGGAUCAGAAGGCCACUUAUUAAAACCGCAGGGAGCACACUCUUCAGUGCGUGGCUCCUCUUCAUCCUCAUCUUACCUGUGUGCUUUACAAGUCAGCUCAUGUAGCACAACUGAUGAACGAUUAAGGCCUAUUUGCUCCACCACACACCCCAAAAAAAAAGCAUAAGACCUAUUUGGAGUGCACGAAUUUCACAUGAAACAUUUGAAUUUCUGUCCAAAUUGGUUUUCAAAGUUAAUUUCCUCAACAGUCAAGAUCAAGUCAGGUUGCACAAGUACCUUCAUCCAAGCCUGCAAUCCGUAGAUACAGCGUGUCGCUGACAUCCCCUACGCCUACCUUCACCGUGUCAAUCAGCUCACCGGUCCACACCAAGCACCUCGUCAGAUCCCCCUUCGUUCUGCUAGUGCUCAGAUUGGCAUAAGCAUACGCCACGCACGAACAGUUUCUGGUGCACUCCGCUGCGCACUCAUGGAGGGAUCGGUUCUUGACGAGCACGAACUUGUCCGGCGACGAAAUCCCAGGCAAGGCCAAGAAACCGUCGCUGCACAGCAGCGCCGCCUUUCGCCGGCACCCCUGGGAGAACCUACCGCUCCUCCAAUCUUCUAAGCUCGUUGGCUCAAAACCGUCGAGGCACUUGCACGUCGAAGGAAGCUUUGUGAGGUCGCAGUAGCCGUUCAGGCCACAGUAGCCGUAGCUUGCGCACUCACCACUUGAGGCUUUUGUCCGACCCAAGAGUAUCCACGCGGACGAUCUCCUGUUCCAGGUUUGGAGCUGGUAGUCGCCGGAGUCUGUGAGCACGUACCUGGUAUGCCCGGCGCCGUCCGAGAGGCUGAAAGUUAUGUAGAUUUCCUCCUCGUUGUUGACAACGGCGAGGUAGACGAUGACGCUGGUGUUCGUCAGGUACUGGGCCGUCUGGGUGGAAACCAUGUAGCCCGUCCAUGGCCCGCUGCGCCAGAUCGGACGGGUUCCGUUCCAGACGAAGAGCUGGAGGAACGUGUCUGGGUCCCCGCCCAAGGAGAAGGCUCCCGGCAAUGGGUCGGCGGGGCCCUUCCACGAGACCAGGCGCUCGCCGGCGCGCGUAUCGUACCUGAUCCGGAUCUUCAUGCCGGGGAGGAACGUGUCGGCCGGGUGGUCGAAGCUCUGCCAUAAGGUGGUGCCGUCCGGAGACCGGAUGACAAGGUUGCCGGUGUUGAGAAGCACCGCGGCAGCGCUGCCGGCCGCCGGAGCCGGAGCUGCACCGGCGACGUUGGUCGUCCACUGGACGCGGCCGCCCGCGUCGGACAGGACGAGGUCAGAGGCGUUGGUCAGUGACAGCGCCGGCGACGGAGAGGUACUGCUGUUCGUGACGGGGGUUUCUCUGUUGGCGACCCACACGACGGUGAGCCGGGGGAUGUCGUUGUACCAUAUGCCGAGGUACAGCUUGGCCGGAGUGGAGUUGGUGGGGGAGAAGAAGCCCAAGGCGAAGCUGCCACCGUCGGAUACGAUGGUGGCGCCAGGGGAGAGCGGCUUGCCGGGGACGAGCCGGUCAACGGCUGCACAUGGUGGCGGCGGCAGCAGCAGGAGGUGGAGGACAAUCGUGUACCUGACGAUAGCUGGCCAAGCCAUCAAGCUUGCACCGAUCCUUGCAACGCUAUCCUAGCUUAAUUAGCUUGCUGGUCAUGGAGGUUUUACUUGAGAAGAGAAGGUAUUGCUGCCUUGAUCCUUGAUCUACUGGCAAACGAUGUCAACGCAACUGCCUUGUGUUUUCUUAUAAAAAAGAACAGCCAAAAAUAAUCACGGGAGCGUCAUCUUAUAGAAGUGAUGGCGUUUUAUUAGAUGGUUCAAAGAAAGGGUGCGUUUCAGGAACCUCUACAGGCUCAGCAACGAAAGAACAUAACGUAUACAAGGUGUUAUAGUACAAGAGCUUGGAAGGGGUAUAGGUUGUUGUACUCAGCUGUGUCAAGGAUUCAGACACGUACUAUGGUUGACAUUUCAGCUGUCCACGUCAGCUGUUGCGAUAGUUAGGACGACAUUGCCUUUGCUGCUAGACAUACUAGUGACAGAAAGUGUAAGGAAUGUAUUGUGUCAGUUUGAUGCUGUCCCUUUCUUUCUUUUGAAGGGGUAUAUGUUGUUGUACUCAGUACAAGAAUACCAGUUUCCGUGUGGUUUCGUCCGUGGUUAGUUUCAGGCAAGACGUGAGAUUACGCACGCACGAUCAUAGUGAAAUCCAAGAGUAGCUGCUGCUCAUCAGUUAUUUCUUUCUUCCAUGAAUUACCCGUAAUAUUUAGAAUCGUGGAUUCUGAAUCGAAAAAAACCACCAUAUGAGUGUUAAAUAAUAUGAUUAUACCACCAUAUGAGUGUUAGUCUCCAAAGGUCAAAAUAAUAUGAUUAUAACCAUCAUGAUAGUAAAAAACAUAAAUCUAUCUAUUAUAUUAAUAAAUGAGUGUUAAAAGAAAUCAUCAUAUUCGGAAUUUGCACUGUCUAUUUAGAAAUUUCCACAUUAAUCUAAAAAAAGAAGAAUUUGCACCGUCGGAUUUUAUGAAGAUCUAACAGUUAAGAUUAACUCAAAGAGUCCAAAAUCAAAUACGAUAUAUAUAUAUAUAUAAAUAAUUUCGGAAUUUAAAAAUUAAGAAAAUUAGGAUUUGAUCAAAAGUUCUUGCCGGAUUGGUAAAGAGUUAAAUUUAGAAUUAAAAAUCGGCGCUAGCAGCGGUAAAGGGGCGCGCUUCGCCAUCAUUGUCUCCGCUUCGCCAUCAUUGUCUCCAUCACAACGAGGUGAUCGCCCUCUUCUUCUGGUGCUUGAUCCUCUACUUCAACGGCCAGAUCACGCCCCUCUUCACGUCCAGCGAGGUCAUGCUCGCCGCCGUGCACGACCUCUCCAUGCUUCUCACCUUCACCAUCCUCCUCAACAGCGUGCAACCCGUCCUCUCAAGCAAGCUGCCGACGAGCCUCACAUGACAUGACCUGACCUUUUCCAUGUAGGCUGUGGAUCUUCAAUAUUGCUGUUGCAAGGGUGAUGUUCGUCGGUUUAGGAUAGCAACGAACAUAGGCACUUACUACCUGAUCGGCACUUUCGGAUCGGAGUCGAGGUAAUGCUACAAAUAUUUCAUAGCUAGAUGAUUAAACAACAACAGCUUGUCCAUGGAUCAGUAGCAUCCAUCACGAUAUCGAAUUUUCCAAAGCACAGUAAAUAAGGAAGUAUGAAAAAAAACCACCACGUUUAUCAAGAGAGGCUAGAAAUUACCACGUUAUUCUAAAAAAGAGAAGAAUAUACACUGCUGAAUUUUAUGAAGAUCUAACAACCAAAAUAAACUCAAAGAGUCCAUAUCAAAUACGAUUAAUAGAUACAUAUAUAUAAUAUCAGAAUUAAAAAAUUAGGAAAGCUAGGAUUUGAUCAAAAGUCCUCGCCGAAUAUAAUUAGUAAAUAGUUAAAAUUUGAAUUAAAAUAAGAAAAAAACAGAUCUGAGCAAAACCAUGUCGAAUGCAAUUAAUAAAUAGUUAAAUUCAGAAUAAAAUAAAUAAGAAAACUAGCACUUGAUAAAACAAAGAGUCCAAGUUGAAUGCUGUUAGUAAAUAGCUAAAUUUGAAAUAAAAAAUAAAAAAAUUAAUAGUUAAUCAAAUAAAAAACUGAUAUUUGAUUUCUAUUAAGUUUGGGAACCAAAUUAUUACGUAAAUAGCCCAUGUAAAAUAAAAUUGUUUAAGCUACGUUUAGAAAUAUAGCUUGAAAUUGCCACACUAACAAUUUUUUUUAACUCUAAUAGUUUAAAUAAUUUCAGAGGGUUUGUUGAAAAAAUUAAUAUGUAGUUUAACUUGAAAUUAAAUAAUAUAAAAUCUAUAGUAUUAUAUAUUAUAUAUGAUUUGGUGCAAAAUAGAAUAAUAAAAGAUCCAUGUAAAUAAUAAAAUAAAUCACUUACAUGUAAUGAAAAGUAUAAAUUUUGAAAAAUAAAGGAACCUAGGUUCCUAAAAUUUUCAUGCUACUAUCAGUACUGGUACACACUUUUAUAAACAAUUAAUUAUUAAUAAUGGUUAGGAUGUUUGUUAGAAUUCCCUCAACGGGUAUAAAUAAAACAACCUCGCACAAGAAACCUAUGUAAAGCCUCAAAAUGGCUUAUACUAUAGUGAAGGAGAAAAAAAAAUAGCUUCACUGGUUUCGCCUCCCUCCAUAAGUACUAAUAAAUUCUUGGAAUUACCACGUUACCACUAAGAAGGUAUUUUGCCAAACGUCAGGCUCGACCAAAAGAGUUGAUUCACCGUUGAAGCCAAAGCUAAAACUAUUUUAGAAGAACCAAAAAUCCUACCAAAUAGAUACUUAGUUUGCGCGAUGGUUUAUCUUUGUCUCACAUUAUUAUGAACUAAAAGAUUGAGAUAGUGUGCAAUUUAGGGAGCGUGAUGAUAAAAACAAUAAAAAAUAUUCGAGUAGUCAUGGAGAACCACAACUUAAUAACAGUAGCUUAUAGGAAUAGAAAGUAAAAAAGUUAACAUGGAUCAAAUUCCGAAAGAGUAAUGAUGACCAUGAAGAAAAUAGUGGAUUAACCACAAAGAAGUAUAGUCAUAUAGCAGCAUAUAGAGAGCACAUGCACAAUCAUUAAAUUUGGACCUGAAAGUGAUGAGUUGAUAGAUCGCCAAUAUUCAAAAAGGUGAUGCUAGGCACUCGCCUAGACGCGCUUAUGCGCUACGUGGAGGGGUGCCGCCUCGCCUAAGAGGUUAGGCGGUGGAUAGGUGCGACCGGGAGGAGGCGGUGGCAGCAGGGAUGGUGUGCGGCGGCGGCAGAGGAAGCGGAGGUUGGGGCGGGCGGGCUGGCGGCGGCGGAGGAGGAGGAGGAGGAGGCAGGGGCGGGCGGGCGGAGGAGGAAGAGGAAGCACGGCCGAUGGGUGGGUGAGCGAGGAACUGAGGGAGCGGUUAGUGGAUAAGAGAGGAGGCUGGGAGGUGGGUUGGGUUGUUUUAAUGGGUUUUUUUCAAAGUUAAGCCCAUCAGCUUCUUCUUUUUCUUUUUAUUUUAGAGAUACAUGUAUGUGUAUAACAAGAUAUAUAUAUAUAUAUAUAUAUAUAUGUAUAUAUGUAUAUGUAUGUAUGUGCUAACGCCUUGAAACGCCUAGGCUCGCUUAGGCUCUAGGCGGUGGGUCACCACCUAGAUACCGCCUAGCGCUUUUUUGAAUAUUGUAGAUCGUCAAAAGUGCAAUAAUAAAGAUUAGGAGCACAACAAUGAUAGUAAGAUGGUACAGUCAUGUCAUAGCCGCGAUAUGACACUAGCUAGGUAACAAGGCCGAGUACCACCUAACAUGGCUAUAGAGGCACAAUGAUCACUAAUGGCAACAACACAAAGUAGCGAGAUGGUAAUUUCUUGGAAUGUAGCAUUGUGAUAAGUGUAUGUUCAAGAUCUAAAAAAAUUAGGAGAGAAGGAACGAUAGAUGAUGUAGUUACGUGUAACGCUGGUGUGAUCUAGAACAAAGAAAUAUGAAAGCCAAUGUUUGAAAUCCAUGCCUAUUUAUAGAAAUCUGCAUGAAGUGUUUGAAAAGAGAAAAAAACAAGGCACUGUCUGAUAUCAAGGAACAUAGAAGAGAGGCGACAAGCACAAAGAAUAACAUUAUACCUUACCAGCUACAACAGUAGAAUGUAGACCCAGUUCUUAGAAAGUGUUGAAAAAAUAGUGCAUCAAUCAUAAGACAUUAUGGAGUAUGCAUGCAUGAGCUUUAGGUACCGAAGAUUGGAGAAUAAAGAAAAGAAAGAAGAUUAUUUAUUUCUACUUUAUACGUUGAACUACUGAUCUAGGUCUUCUCUAAAAGCGUGAGAACAAUUCUGCAUGCAAAGUGAUGAAAACACUUGAGAAAAAAGGUGUAUCGCCAGUUAAAAAAUUUAAAAAUUAUAUUCUUAUCAAAAAAGUAUUCCAUAUAAUAUAAACAUGAGGCGUUAGAAGAAAUAUAAAAAACAUGUUUGUAUAUAAGAUAUUACCUUUUCUCAUGAAUUCAUAUUAUAAAAAUACUACAUAGUAUUUUAGAGAAAGUACUUGAUAAAAUAUGACAGAUAAGAAAUAACACAGAUAAUUCCUCAGUUUAGGUCAUCUGGAAAAAUAAUUAUGUUGACACCAUUUGAAAAUAUUAUUUGCAUAUUUUUAAGUAAAAGUAAAAUUAUAUAUGUAAUGAAAAAACUAGCUACCCGCGCUAUUUGCGCAAGUGACCUUGCUAGUUCUGUUGACUAUAUGUGUAAAAUCUAGUCUGACAAUCCAAAGGUAAGGUCAUAAAAUCUUAUGAUGGAAUCGAGAUUCUACCAACCAUGACACAAAUUUCUGUUGCAAGGUUGAGAAAGUGAGAAUGAGAAGCCUUCGAGUAAUUUAUUUUAUUUAUUAGUUGAUGAGUGAGAAGGUAAACAAAUCAUCUUUAAUUUUUUGGAAGUUGGUGGGAUCAAAUAUUUCUAUUUUAUAGGAAAGUUGAUCUCCUUUUAAUACUAAAUGGCAAGACAUCUCCUUUUAGUCAAAGUUUAUUUAUUUGAGUUUUUUCUUUAUUAUGUUAGGAAACAAAUAGUAUCAUCAUAGCUCACAGUGACUUCUCACAAAGAAAAAGAUGAAACAGAAAAAUUAGCAAGGAAAUGAGCACACAACGAUGAUAUUGUUUAUAAGAAGAAGAAGAACAGUAUGAUGAAAUAGAAAAAUAUUAGCAAGGAAAUGAGAACACAGUGAUUAUCGUUCCAGAAAUCAUCUUCCCUUUAUGUUUGUGAGAGUAAGAGAAUUCACUGAAUUGAAAAACUUUACCUCUUAUUUUUAAAAGAAAUUGGUGCUCGUAUCACGGGUGAAUUAGGCCUUUCUUAAAACUUUAAUUAAUAUAUGGCUCAACUAGUUUGCACGGAACAUAAACUAGAAUAUACUAUCUAGAUAUGCACUUAUCUAGAUAUGCAACUAGGCUUCUUUUAGUGACAAAACCUCGUUCCAAAGUAUUUUGCAACCUAUAGCCAAUUCUACCAGGUGGAUAAUACACCGUAAAGGCAUACAAGAUUGCAAGUAUGAAAUGCGGAAACUUAAAAAAGGAUGAGGGGAAGCAAACUCUUGAUACGCGGAUUUAUUCUGUGGUAUCGAUAGGCAUAAAGCCAUCCCUAGUCUACGUUAUUGAAGCGCUCACUAAUAGUAUUGCUUCCUAGUCACCAAGUCUCUUCCGAGAAUCUUCUUAACUCACCACUAAGGCUUAGCCACCGAGGCUCUCGCCAAGUACCCAGUCAUCUCGAUGUCGUCUCCACUAAGGGGCUUCUCCAUGAAGAAGUGGGUCUCCAUGUCCCACGCACAAAGACGUCGUCGCUGCUCCACACAAAUUCGGACGGUCAAAAACUUGCCAGCGAGUCACCAAGACUCCAAGGGGCCGGCACACCGAGGUACAAGCUUGAGGUCCACUAAAGAACCAGCACAAGAUCACAACACAUUACUCUCACACUUUCUCUAGAGCUAGCCUAGCGCUACACAUUCACAAAGCUUAUGUUAAACCUAAGGAUUUGAUCAAUAUUCACUUGGGUGGCUUAGAGAACUUCUUUGGAGUCUUGUUGCUUCUCACGAACUCCAGUGGUCUCAAAUGACACAGUGAGCCCAUAUACGAGCUAGAGAUACUCUUCUUGCCGUUACAUGCUUUUACCCAGAAAAUCAUAAAGCGUCGGUUAAACCGGUCACAUACGUCGGUUUAACUGGUCACUCUGAAGUUGCAUACUAGCCGUUAAGCUCUGACUGCCUGCUUUUGCUAACGUCAUUGCACCAACGUCUUACACCGGUUCAACCGAUGCUGAAAACUUUGCUUGAGAAACUUCUAGAACCAAAACAUACGUACUGAGUAACCCUAGCACACUUGCACGGACGCCUUCUUUUGCACCAUUAGUUUGGUACCUCUGUUAUUUCUUCACUUGAUUGCUAUGCUAUCUCCUCAUUGCACCGACGCCUUUAUACUUAUAGCGUUGGUUCAACCGGUGGUACUAAGUUCUUCUGCACUUGAUUGACAUUGCACAGUCCAGUGCACCGCUCGGUUCAAAUACGAUGCCGUCGGUUUAACCGACGCAUGUUUCAUGCUAAACCUUGUUCAAGUCAUCUCAACUAUUAUUUGGACCAUUUUGACAGCGAUUUAGACCAUCUUGUAUAUGGAUUGGACACUAUCCAUGGGACCUAGAAAUUCUACAGAGCUUACAAACUCGUUAACAAACUCGUUAAUCCUAUUAACUGUAUUCACACAAUCACCAAAAUCACAAUCAUAGUCUAAUAGAAUCAUGUUCCUUACAAUUUUGCUCCGUAUCACUAGUCCCCUGUCCAUAGUGCCCAAGUUUAUUCGGUGUUGGCAGUGUAGUGCUUCCGGUCUCCAGAGUAAGGGUAUUUUUGCACAAAUCUUGAUAAAACUAAAGGAUUUUUAUUUUUACCGUGCUUCUAUGUUUGUAAGAGUAAGAGUGUUCACGGAAUUGUAAGUAUUAUAUCUUAUUUGCUCGAUCUCAGUGCUCCUUUGUGCAAAGUAUGCAGGCUGGUUUGGCUUCGGAAGUGCGGUGCUUCUAUUCUCCAGCGAGAGCACAACAUAUGACAUAUGUGGCCUAUCAUCUGGGUUUUCUUGAACACACAGGAGUGCUACUUGAAUACAAAGCAAAAUUUCAUCUGGCAAACAAGUAUCCAUAAUAGAUGAAUCUGCCAGAUAUCCUGUCUUCCCUUCCUUCCACAUAUUCCAUGCCUGAAAAAUAAAAACAAGAACAAUCAUUUUGAUUGUGGUAUCUCCAAAAGUUUCAAAUCCUCUAACUUUGAUCUUGAGUUAUAACUUCACAGGUACUCACAUAGAUCAUAAGAUUUGGAAAACCCAUUAUAUCAUCAAUUGAGCUUCUUCUUACACCAGUUACGAUCUCCACGAGGAGCACACCAAAGCUGUAUACAUCAGACUUAAUAGAGAAGAUGCCUUCCAUUGCAUACUCAGGAGCCAUAUAGCCACUGUUCAACCAUUCACUUGCACAAAUUAUCACAGGGAAGUCAAAUGUAGUCAGAUGCCAAUCAUGCCUUUAUGAAAUAAGCACUCACUAUGUUCCAACAACACGACGUGUAUUUGCCUUCGUCUGGUUGUCAUUGAAGAUCCUUGCCAUGCCAAAAUCUGCUAUCUUGGGUCUCAUCUCUCCAUCCAGUAAAACAUUAGCGGCUUUGAGAUCUCUAUGAAUUAUGGUCAGUCUCGAAUCUUGGUGGAGAUAGAGAAGUCCUCUCGCGACUCCUUUGAUUAUAUUAAAUCGUAUCGGCCAAUCUAACAACAUUUUCCUUGAAUUAUCUGCAUGAUGGUUCGAAUGAAAGCAAUAUGUUUAUGAGAUGUCAUUUUGAGAUAUUUUUAAGAGCUUGUAUUAAGUUGUUACUUGAAUGUACCAAAAAGGGUGGCGUCUAAGCUUUUAUUAGGCAAAUACUCAUAAAUCAACGUCUUUUCAUCACCCUGAACACUGCAACCAAAAAGUCGAACCAAAUUUCUAUGUUGCAAUCUGGCAAUUAGGACAACUUCAUUCCUGAAUUCCUUGGUUCCUUGCUCAGAGUCCUUGCUCAUCCUUUUGAUAGCAACUUCCUUACCAUUUAACAUGGCCUUCAGAAAUGUAAAAAAGAAAAAUGGCAUACAAGCAACUCAAAAAUAAUUACUGGAUUGAAUCAAGCAGAAGCCUGUGCUGAGUGAAGAAAUAACCUUAUAAACUUUGCCAAAACCUCCCUGUCCAAUCUUACAUGCUUCCGAGAAAUUGUCUGUCGCAGCCACAAUAUCCUCAAAUCUGACAAAAGGGAAUUCAAAAUCUUGGGCGGUGUUUUCUUCCCCAAGUCCAUCAGAUGUAUUAGUACCACCCAGAAUUAACCCAAGCUUCUUGUGAUCUUCCCUAUUUCUUUUCCUAGCUGCUCCCAAAAAUUUAUCACCCAUUCUGUUCCAGAGUACCUCAUAGACAUAUAAAAAGAAGAAGCAGAGUUGGUACCUUGCAACUUGAAGCAUGCAAGGAUAAUUCCCGCAAGUAUCGCAAUGCUACUUACUAACACAGUAGGCAGCACAAUCUUCAUUGCAUUGGUCUUUGCUCUGCUUCUGCUACCUGUGCAAGGUCAGUGCAACGACUUAUGCAUACAAGCCUGAAAAUUUUAGCGAAGAAUUCAAAGUUUACUCGAUAGAAAGACACAAGAGAUGAAGUCGUUGGCACACCAGUAUCAUCCAAACCUGCAGACCGGAGGUACAGCGUCUCACCGCCAGCCAUAUCACCCAUCUUCUCCGUGUCAAUCAGCUCGCCGGCCCAAACCAAGCACCUCGUCACGCCCCCCUUCGUUCCUCUGCUGCUCAGGUCAGCAUAAGCGUAGGCGACACACGAACAGUUCCUGGCGCACUCCGCCGUGCACUCGCCGGCGGUUCUGUUCUGGACGAGCACGAACUUGUCCGGCGACUUCAUCCCCGGCAACGCCAAGAAGCCGUCGCCGCACCGCAGCGCCUCCUUCCGCCGGCACCCUCGCGAGAACCUGCCGCUGCUCCACUCGUCGGAGUUGGAAGGCUCGAAGCCGUCGAGGCACCUGCACGUCGGAGCAGCCAUGGUGCUGUCGCAGUAGCCGUACGGGCCGCAGUGGCCGUAGCGGUUGCACUCCCAGGUCGGCCAUUUGCCGAGAACCGCCCACGCCGACGAGCUGCCGUUCCAGCUCUGGAGCUGGUACUCGCCGGAGUAGGUCAGCACAUACCUGGUGUGGGCGGCGCCGUCGGAGAGGCUGUAGGAUAUGUAGGUGUCCUCCUCGGUGUUGACGAUGGCCACGUAGAUGUAGGCGCUGGAGUUGGCCUGGUACUGGCCGUCCACCAUGAAGCCCGUCCAGGGGGCGCUGCGCAGCAUCGGGCGCGUCCCGUUCCAUACGAACACCUGGAGGAACGUGACCAGGUCCGCGCCGUAGGCGAAGCUUCCCGGCGAGGGGUCGUCGGGGCCCUUCCACGACACGAUCCGCUCGCCACGGCGCUCCCUGUUGUACUUGUACUUGAUCCAGAUCUUCAUCCCGGGGAGGAACGUGUCGGUCGGGUGCUCGAAGCUCUGCCACAAGGUAGUGCCGUUCGGAGACCGGACGACGAGGUUGCCGGUGUCCAGAAGCACCGCGGCGAGGCCGGCGGCCGCCGUCGGCGAUGGCGAGACACCGGUGACGUUCGUCGUCCAAAGAACCCGGCCGCUGGCAUCGGACAAGGCGAGGUCGGAGCUGUUGGUCAGGGACAGCGCUGGCGGAGGGGAGGUGCUGUUUGUGAUGGGGGUCUCUCUGUUGGCGACCCACACGACGGUGAGCCUUGGAACGUCGUUGUACCAUAUGCCGAGGUACAGUUUGGCCGGAGUGGAGUUGGUCAGGGAGAAGAAGCCCAGGGCGAAGCUGCCGCUGUCGGACACGAUGGUGGCACUAGGGAACAGCGGUUUGCCGGGGACGAGGCGGUCGUCGGAUGCACACGGCUUCACCAACAGGAGGAGGAGAACAGCGGCAUACCUGAUUGCCGACCAAUCCAUCAGAUCAAGGUCUUCUCCUUUCAGAACGGCGAGGCGAUUUCUGAAAAGGAUGUGUAAUAAUAGUUCGUAAGACUGAAGAUUUUGCUUCAGCAUUGAUGUCUAAGUGUUUUUGUUUUUCCUCUUUAGCCUGACAGCAAUCAUGACCAAUGCAUCCGGGAAGCUUUGAAUGGGCUCGACUACGGAAGCAGUAGGUAAAAUAAUGCAAAAAUUUGAAAGUUUAGGCCAGAUUUAAUUUACCAAUUCAACCUCAUCUUGUGUUUGACAUUUGAGCAGUCCACGCGGACUGUGCGGUGGUUAGUAUGAGAUUAUCAUUUAUCGAUGCUGCCAUUGACAGAAAAGCCAAGAAGCACAUAUACUAAUGCAUAUGAUGCGUACAGAAACUAGAAAUGAUUGAUUGUUCGACUUUUGACGACUGAAGUGGUUGGUACACCAUAUGAAUAUGAUCAAUAACAAUCAGUUUCCUAUGUUUUUUAUUUCUCACAUGUCUCAGGUUUAGUACUUUUCUGACCACAAAGAUAAGCUCAUCUAGGUUUGUUCUGAGUUUCACUGUUAAACUUUAACUAGCAAUAUCUAUAAAAAUAUAUUGUUUUAAAGUAAAGGGUUAUAUACAUUAUGUAAGUAUUUUUUAUAAAAAAAUAUAUUAGUAUUUUUCAUAAUGAAUCUAGUAAUAUCAAUCUUAUCUUGUCAACCUAUAUAUAAUUUCGUUACAGAACAGAAGAGCUGUGAAAAAUGGAGCUGCAAAAAUAAUUUACCUUGCUAACCAUUAAUUUUGCAUCAAUAUUACUCCAUUAGUGUUCCUUCAAAGAAAGGUUACCAUAUCUGGAAACCAAAAAAAAAAUAUCUACAUGCCCUCUAGAACUGAAAGAGUCAAACUGUUCUUUGAGAUUUGAGUAUUGUCUCUUCUCUGUUCUACUUUACUAUUAGUAUGCGCAAAAUAUACAGGUUUACUCGAGGCGGUAAGUGGAGUGCCUCCAUUCUCCAAAAUGAACACAACAGAUGACAUCAAUGGCCUGUCGUGUUGUCCUGCACACACAGGAGUCCUGUGUGGAUGCAAAGCAAAGCUUCAUCUAUUAUGCAGCUAUCUGCAAUGCUUGAGUCUACCAAAAUCCUUUGCCUGCCCUUCCUUCCAUAGAUUCCAAGCCUGAAUAAAUCAGACUAAUAACUGAGGUUGCGGAACAUAUGAAGCAUUGAGGUCUACUCCUUUCAAAUUCAGAAACCGCUUAUACUCACAUAGACUAUUAGGCUUUCAGAUUCCAUUAUCUGGUCACUGGAGCUUAUCUUCACACCACUUACAAUCUCCAAAGUCAGAACACCAAAGCUGUACGCAUCGGACUUCACAGAAAAUAUGCCUCUGAGGGCAUAUUCAGGCGUCAUGUAGCCACUGUUAGUAUUGUACCAGGAAGAGUUAUUUUUCUUUGAUUUAUUAGGUUUGCCUGUAUGGUAAUUUCAGGGAAAAAAAUAUUACUAUGUUCCGACAACUCUCUUUGUGUUUGCAUUUUGUUGGUUAUCACUAACCAUCCUUGCCAUACCAAAGUCUGAGAUCUUGGGUCUCAGUUCUUCAUCCAGCAAAACAUUGCUUGCUUUCAGAUCUGUAUAUUAUCUUCAGUCUUGAAUCUUGGUGAAGGAGAAGGUCCUCGGGUGCUCAUGGCGGCGGCAGCAGGAGGAGAAGGAGAAGGACAGUGGCGUACCUGAGAGCUGGCCAACCCAUCGGUGAGCCGAAUUCUGAGAAGAAUGCACCAACACAAGCUGUUGGGCAGGGAUCGAUCGACUAGCCAGUCCAGGGCAUCUUCUUUAAACUUUUAUUGUUACGAGUUGCUGACAUGAGACUUGAUCUACAAGCAGCUAUGAGCCGAUCACAGAUCGUUUAAACUUUGACGCGGUUGAUCUCAGAUUGAAAUGAACAAAAUAAGGUAGUUUCAGACUCAUACUGGUUGACAUUAUUCCAGGUGUGUCCAUCAGUUCAUGGUCAGACCACGAGGUAGUUAGGAUGCCAUUGUCGCCUCUGUCAGCCACACUAGUGAUAGAAACUAUAAGGAAUGAGGUGAUCUAAACGAUUGGCCACGCCGUCAGUUCUAAUUACUGCGUGCGUUCUGCACAGCGUUCCUCCCCCAGCACCUGGGAAAAAUAACUUACCUUACAAACCAUCUAUUUUUCAUUUUUAGUUUCUGAGUAUUCAUUCAAAGAACUAGCCUAUCAACCCGUGCUCCCGCACGGGCUAAAUAAAAUUAAUAUAAAAAUAAAACUUAUAGCUAAUAAUUAUAAUUAUCUAUCUCACGCCCUCUUUUAUCUAUUAAGUAUUCUAACACAUACUCUAAAAUAUAUAUUUAUCAUUAUCUAGUUGCAAUAGAUUUUAUUUUGCAUCACACCUCUAUAUGUGUUUAAUAUUAUUUAAUUGAACCAUUUAUUUGUAAAUUGGUAUUCUUAUCUCUUCCAUUGUACAUGAAUACAUGGUGACAUAUAUCGUGGGUAAUAUUAUUAUAUAAACAAUAACAUAAAUAAUAUAUUAAUAAUGAUAGAUAUAGUAAUUUAGAAUUUUUUAUUGGUGCACUUUAAUAUUUUGUUAUAAUUAUAUAAUUUAGGUUCAGAUUUAGGGAUUACUUUAACUUUUAAUAAUGACAUAAUUGGGUAAUUUAUAUGCAAAUUUAGAGGGUUAUUUGCAUUAUUUUUGUAAGGGCAUAGGUAGGUAAUUUACACAUAGAUUAGGGGGUUACUUUAAAUUUUUUUAAUAAUAGCAGAGGUUGGUAAUCUAGAUACAUAUUUAGGGGGUUACUUUAGUCUAUUCUUAUAAUAGCAGAGAUGGUAAUUUAUUAGAAAAGAUAACAGAUCCAAUGACUAUUAAGAUUAGAGUUAUCGGGUUGAUGGCCCGGAUGUUUCUGAUUUUUGUGAGAAUUUCUAGAAUUUCUCUAUUUUUUGUAGAGUGUUCACUUAGGAUUCUCGGUGGCUUCACGUAGAGGCUUAAAAAAGAACCUUUAAUUAUUCAAUUAGUAAUAGUAAGAUGGUUAUCACAUCUUGAAACAAAAAAAAGGGCCUAUCUGCCCUCUAGAACUAAAAGUCACACUGUUCUUUGAGUUUUGAGUAUUGCCUCUUCUCUGCUCUACUUUACUAUUAGUAUGCGCAAAAUACAUAGGUCUAUUCGGGGCGGGAAGUGAGGUGCUUCCAUUCUCCAAGAUGAACACGACAGAUGACAUCAGUGGCCUGUCGUUGGGGUUGUCCUGCACACACUGGAGCCCUAUGUGGAUGCAAAGCAAAGCUUCAUCUGGUAUGCAACUCUCUGCAAUACUCGAGUCUACCAAAUCUUUUGCAUGCCCUUCCUUCCAUAAGUUCCAUGCCUGGAUAAAUAAAAUUAAUAAACUGAGGUUGUGGAACUUAUAAAACAUUGAAGUCUACUCCUUUCAAAGUCAUAAAAAACUUAUACUCACAUAGACUAUAAGAUUUUCAUAUUCCAUUAUGCGAUCAGUGGAGCUUAUCUUCACACCACUCACAACCUCCAAAGUCAGCACACCAAAGCUGUACGCAUCAGACUUGUCAGAAAAAUAUGCCUCUCAGGGCAUAUUCAGGAGCCAUGUAUCCACUGUUGGUAUUGUACCAGGAAGUGUUAUUUUUCUUUGAUUUAUCAGGUUUACCUUUGUAGGAAUUACACGGGGGAAAAUAUUACUCACUAUGUCCCAGCAACUCGCUUUGUGUUUCCACUUUGUUGGUUAUCACUGAACAUUCUUGCUAUACCGAAGUCUGCGAUCUUGGGUUUCAUCUCUUCAUCCAGCAACACAUUGCUUGCUUUCAGAUCUCCGUGUAUUAUCUUCAGUCUUGAAUCUUGAUGGAGGUAUAGAAGCCCUUUAGCAACCCCUUUGAUGAUGUUGAACCGUGUUGGCCAAUCUAGCUCUAUUUUUCUUGUACUGCCUACAAAUAAAGGGCAAAGGCGGCAUUUCCCAUGAGCAAUGACCAACUUGUUGUGUUAAAUCUUGGAACUGUAAUGUUCUAUGAGGAAAUCAUACUGAACAGUAGAGCAUCUAAGCUUUUGUUAGGCAUGUACUCAAAGAUCAGUAACUUUUCGUCGCCCUCUAUGCAGCAACUGAUAAAUCGAACCAAAUUCCUGUGCUGCAGUUUGGCGAUCAGAAUAACUUCAUUUCUGAAUUCCGCUAUUCCUUGCUCGGAGUCCCUACUGAGCCUUUUGAUGGCAACUUCUCGACCAUCUAACUUUGCCUUGAAACAGAAAUGGUAAAUGGAUUAGCUAGGCUCGAGUAAUCAGGCACGAGAGAUGUGUGGAUGAGUUAAACUUUGCCAAAACCUCCUUGUCCUAUCAUGAAUGAUUCGUGGAAAUUAUUUGUCACAGCUGCGAUAUCUUGGAAGCUUGCAACUGGAAAUUCAAAGCCUCCAGUAUCGUAGGAUUUGCUUCUCCAGAGUGCUCCAGCAUAUUCAGCUUUCCAAGGACUAUAUCGUAUUGUGUUUUCCCCUUUUUGUUUUUUACCUGCUUCCAAAAUGUCAAGAACGUUUCUUCUCAUGUGAGGAUAAUGAGAGAAUUCAGCAGUGCAAAAACCAAUUUCCCUCUGAUGAGUACAUGUAGAAGUGUAGUGAAGUGAAGUAGUGCCGGUACCUUUGAACUUGAACCAUGCAAGGGAAGCGCCUGCGAGUAUCAGAAUGCCGCUUAACAAAACUGCAGGAAGCACAAUCUUUACAGCGCUGCUGGUCUUUGGCCUAGUUCCUGUGCAAAGUCAUUUCAGGGAAGUGAGUGAGGUGCACGAAUAUAUCACAAGACAAACAACGGAUCAAAGUUUAUUUGAUGUAGAUAGAGGAGAUGAGAUCAAUAGCACACCAGCAUCCAAGCCUGCGAUCCGGAGGUACAGCGUGUCACUGCCAGUGCCAGCCACAUCAGUCACCUUCUCUGUGUCAAUCAGCUCCCCGGCCCACACCAAGCACCUCGUCCCGUCCUUCGUGCCGCUGCCGCUGCUGCUCAAGUUGGCAUAGGCGUAGGCCACGCACGAGCAGUUCUUGGUGCACUCCAUGGCACAUUCCUCCGAGGUCCGGUUCCCCACGAGCACGAACUUGUCCGGCGGUUUUAUCCCCGGCAAGGCGACGAAACCGUCGUCGCCGCACCGCAGAGCCUCCUUUCGCCGGCACCCAUGAGCGAACCUGCCGCUGCUCCAGUCCUCCGGGAUCGCCGGCUCGAAACCAUCGAGGCACUUGCACGUCGGGACGGUCGCCGUGCCGUCGCAGUAACCAUACGGACCACAGUGGCCGUAGAGGUCGCACUCGUCGGCGGGCCAAUUGCCGACGAUGGCCCACUCCGACGGUUCCCAGCUCUGGAGCUGGUACUCGCCGGAGUAUGUCAACACGAACCUGGUGGGCGCGGCGCCGUCGGAGAGUCUGUAGGUAAUGUACAUCUCUUCCUCGGUGUCGACGACCGCCAUGUAGAUGACGACGCCUGCGUUCACCCGGAGCUGGCCGCUGAUGGUCAGGUAGCCCGUCCACGGGGCGGUGCGAGCCACCUGACGCGUCCCGUUCCAGAUGAAGGCCUGCAGGAACGUGUCUGGGUCCAUGCCGUAGGUGAAGCUCCCCGGCGAGGGGUCGUCGGGGCCUCUCCAGGACACCAGGCGCUCGCCGUCGCGGGACCUGUACCUGACCCGGAUCCUCAUGCAUGCCGGGGAGGAACGUGUCGGCCGGGUGCUCGAAGCUCUGCCACAAGGCGGUGCCGUUUGGGGACCGGAUGACGAGGUUGCCGGUGUUCAGGAGCACUGCGGCGAGGCCGGUGGCUGCCGGCGAGGAGCUCGAGUCACCGGUGGCGACGUUGGUCGUCCAGAGGACACGGCCCUCGGCGUCCGACAGGACGAGGUUGGAGGUGUCGGUCAGGGACAGCGUUGGUGCAGAGGUCGUGCCGUUUGUGGCCGGGGCUUCCCGGUUGGCGACCCACACGGCGGUGAGCCUGGGGAUGUCGGUGUACCAUACGCCAAGAUACAGCUUGGCCGGAGCGGAGCUGGUUGGGGAGAAGAAGCCCAAGGCGAAGCCGCCGCCGUCGGAAACUAUGGUGGUGCCCGGAAGGAGCGGCUUGCCGAGGACUAGCCGGUCGUCGGAUGCACCCUGCGGCAGCAGGACAAGGAGGACGGUGGCAUAGGUGAUAGCUGAGCGAUCCAUCGAUGAGUCGAAUUCUGAAAGUAUCUGCUGAUAACCUUGUAGUAGCUUGUUGGGCAGGGAUCAGCUGCACGACUGAUGAUCUUACUUGAUGAGGAGUUGCUUGUGCCUUGGAAUGGAAGCAACCUGUACUCUUGACGAACAGGGAGAUGAAACCCCGUUUGAUUUUAUUUAUACGAAAUUAACCAAUAUAUAAUCACGGAAGUCUAAGUUACAGAGAUGGAGACAGGUAAUGGCAAUCAUAUGUUGCUUCAGUCCAAAGGAGAGGGGUAUGUCAGCAUCGAAGAAGCUUUUUUUUUCUUUCAGAUAUAGGCCCCGUUGAAUCUAAGUACUAAACUUUAUCACUGUAGCACUAGUUUAUCCAAACAGAAGUGUUAAUGGAUAGGCUAAACUUUAGAUGAAACUAAAAGAUUUUAAUAAAAACUAAAAGACUUUAAUAAAGGUACGAGUACCAGUAGGUGCUAAAGUUUAGCACUCAACUUUAACCCAGGCUGUAGUUUUUUAUUUAGGAUUUUGAUUGCCUUACCUCGGUUCAUUAGUCCCUAGGUUCAUACUUAGAGCCUGUUUAAUUGGCUAAAGUUAAGUGCUAAACUUUAGUACCUAGCACUCAUAUAUUUGCUAAAAUUUUUAAGUCUUAAUUAAAAUUUAGUCUAUCCUAUUCGUAUGUCUGUUUAGAAAAGAAAAACUAGUGCUAAAGUUUAUAUUAGCACUUAGAUCAAACACGCAUUAGUUAAAAAAGCACAAUUGACAAUUUUGGUAAAAAAAGCAGGAAGAAGGUGGGCCGUGUGCCAACACAGGCAGUUUUAGCCCAGGCAAAAGCAGGAAGGAGGCGGGCCGCAUGGCCGUGCGGUAUACUGGGCCGGAACAUGAUCGUAGGUUUCUUCUGCCCUAUGCGUGGCCCAAAGCUCUGCCACACCGCCGCGGCGCCGUUCGGCGACCGGAGGACGAGGUUGCCGGCUCUCGUGAGCGUGGCGACCGUGCCGGACGCCGAGGACGAUCAAGUCGUGCCAGCGAUCACGUUGGUCGCCCAAACAACGCGACUGCCGGCGUCGGACAAGACGAGGUUGGAGGUAUUGGUCAGUGCAAACGUCGGCGCAGAUGAGGAACGACGGCCGGCGACGCUGAUCGGGGUUUCCUGGUUAGCCACCCACACGACGGUGAGGUCGGGGAUGCCGUCGUACCAAAUCCCCAGGUACAGCUUUGCAGGGGUUGAGUUGGAGGGGGAGAAGGAGCCGGGGUCCGAGACGAUGACAUCGCCGGGAAAGAGCGUCUUGCCAACGACAAGCUGGUCAUCGGACGCGCCCAAUGGCAGCAAGAGGAAGGUGAGUAAGACGACGGUGCAAGCUGGCAAGCACGUCAUGUCUUCGUCUUCUUCUGCAGCUCUCUCAGAACAUCCUCGCCAGGACAUUGAGCUCCUUGACUCGAGGCUUUCUUUCUCUGCACGCAGCAAUCUGGGAGUUAUCUACUGGACUGAGAAUAGUUUACUGCAGUACAUAGUUCGUUGAAUUUGAGUAUUUGACAUUUCUGGGCUCCAUGUCGUAACCGUGUAUUAGGAUAACAUCAUUAUAACUAUGAUAUGCGAAAACAAUUUGCUAUUGUUUACGGUUGGAAUGGAGACUUUUAUGCACAUUCCGUAGGGCCAGGCCCAUGGGCCGUAAUGACCCAACCCAAGUUAAUUCGUCAGUUAUGCGGCCCGUAUACGGUCCACGGUUAGGCCCAUUAGAAAAGCAGGUACGCUCACGCGUAAUAUACACUGACACGUGGGCCCGUCGUGAGUACAUAUGGAAACAACCACCAAGCAUUAAAUGCAUCUUCCCCACCUCGGAUGACACGUGGGCCCGAAAUCUUCGACCACUUUCGCGAGAUUGCGGAAUGCCCGAACUGACCCUCCAAGAAGCACAGGGCGGGCGGAAGAAGCACACCGUGAAAACUCCCGCCUUCAGCGGAAAAUAACCCGAACCGCACCCACAUAGUCACUGACGGGUAGGCCCAGGGACCCCCAACUAUCCAGAAUCCAUCGAAGCAGCACCCGCAGGCUAGCCAGAGUUCACGUACUCGUAGCGGGGAAACGGUAGCCAGCGGCGCGCCGUGCGGCCAAUGGGAGGCGAGCCCCCGGAUCGGUGACGUGGCGGAAAAUUUUCAGAUCCCGCGCAAACGCUCACCGCCCCCGCCUUUAAAGGCCGCCCCCCUUUCCCCUCCACUUUGCAUCACGCAACGCCCACAGGCACUCGUCACGCGGCGCACGAGCAAACACGCAAACCCACGUCCCGAACCGCCCGGAAGGUACUGCGAGUUCGAAAUCGAGAUCAAAUCGUUGCGAAUUCGAGGCUGUUGGUGUGGGUUGUCGCUGAGGUCUUUUGGUUUUUUUGUAUUUGGUGUGCCAGGUUCGGAGAUGAAGUCGAGGGCGAGGUCCAGCGGCGCCGACUCCAGGUACGAUCCGAUGGCGCCGACUCCUUUCCCCAUUCUCGUGGUGUUUUACUGUUUUGGUGGUGGUUUCGGUUCGUUUUGCUUGGGGUUCUGACGGGGUUUCCUUUGCUGUUGUUUGUUGGUGGUGGUGCAGGCUCUCCGUGAGGAAGUCCAAGGCCGACAAGGACCCGAACAAGCCCAAAAGGCCUCCGAGUGCCUUCUUCGUCUUCAUGUGAGUGCUAGAUUCAUGGGGCUUUUGUGAUUUUUCCCCCGUGUUGUUUUGGUUUCGUUCUGAUCGACUGGUGCGAUGGUUUCUGCAGGGAGGAUUUCAGGAAGGACUACAAGGAGAAGCACCCCAAUGUCAAGCAAGUCUCCGUGGUAAGCGUUGUUUCCUCCGCGAAUUCGUCAUUCGAUUCGAAUGUUUACGUGGCUUGUUUGCGAUAUUAUCGUUUCUGAUGCUUUUGGCUUUGUGACUCGCAGAUUGGCAAGGCUGGUGGUGACAAGUGGAAGUCCCUGUCCGAAGCUGUGAGUUUGCUUUCUCCCCUUUCAGCCGUUCGAACUGUCUAGUUUGUUUCGUUGUGCUCUUUGGUCGUUUGAAUGCCUGUUCAAAUUUCGUCUUGGUUGGUGGCCCUUGCGUUGUGCAUAUAUCUGUGGUUAUUGCUGAAAUGUUAGAUCUGCGAAAUUUCUGUGUUCGUCGAGUUCAAGUUUUGAGGGACAUGCCCCAAUAGACGGUUGCCAGUUCAAAUUCCACUCAUGACUUGUUAUUAGUAAUCUUAACUGGUGGUUAA
This 68225-nucleotide long non-coding RNA is filed under the name Panicum hallii. Its description in RNAcentral is "long non-coding RNA (PHAL_LNC000203)". Lineage: Eukaryota; Viridiplantae; Streptophyta; Magnoliopsida; Poales; Poaceae. The record is from RNAcentral.